Molecule: long non-coding RNA, 76488 nt
Filed under: Erythranthe guttata (spotted monkey flower)
Lineage: Eukaryota; Viridiplantae; Streptophyta; Magnoliopsida; Lamiales; Phrymaceae
Description: long non-coding RNA (EGUT_LNC000077)
Source: RNAcentral
CGCUCUCAUUCUCUCUCUCUAUCAAUUCUCGGCUUAUAUCACAGAAAAUCAAGAUGGAGUUUUCUCUUAAUUUCUUCGUGAUGUUUGCACCAAAAUCCCUCUUAUCUUACCUCUUUUGUUUUCCACAAAAAUAUUCGCCUAUUUCACCCAAUUUCUCCAAGCCCUAGUUCCUACCCCUGUUCGAGAAUUUUCGAAUUCAUUAAGGAGAUUCGGAAGAUUUGAUUACAGGGAAAGAAUUGGGGCUUUGAAAAGAUAAUUUCAGAUUUGGGUUUUAAGGAAAAAUAAUAGUUUGGAGACCUUCGAGAAUGAAUCCCGUCGAUCAGGUCCCACCUUUGGAAUAAUUGUGAGUUCAGAUGUACACCGGUACGUGUUGGUGAUUUCCGGCAGAGGUCGCCGAUGGUGGCCGUUAUCUGGAGUUCAGCUUUUGGCUCUUCAAAGAAUUAAAUGAACGGAGGUGUUAACGGUGGAGUAUCGAUGAUAGAAGGUACUGUUACAAACCUCGAGAAGUUAGCGUCCCAUUAAUGGUGGUGCAAGGCAGUUUUAUUCGGCGGUGGUCGCCGAAAUUUUGUGUGAAAUUCAGCAUGCUCGCCGGAAGGAAAUAAAUCUGCUACCGCAUAUGUUUUCGGAGCCAAAAUCGAAGGGUUUGGAGUGUGAAUUUGGGAAUCAUUCCUUCUCGAAACUCGUAGAGGACCUCGAAAACUGUGAGUAAGUGUUUAAUUAUUUCCAAUUGGAGCACAUGUUAUAGUCUCUUAGGGGUCGGAAUCAGACGACAGAGAAUCUGUCAAAAAACAGGGCAGUUUUGCCUAAUCAUCAUACGGAGCUGUUUUUGUUAUGUUGGAGUAAUAAUUUAGGCUAUGUAUCUUCUGAUGUUUUGUAUAUUGAGUUGUGAGGUUUGAUUUGGUAUAUUAUUUGGUCGAUUUGGAUAACUCUACAAAUUGUUAUGAUUUUUCAAAUAAACUGUGACAGCAAACAAGUUUGUCCAAAACAAUUCUGGCAGUUUUCUGUAUUCAACUUUUCGGGCUGUUAUUGUUGUGUUAUCUUAGUAAUUGUGGGUUGGUAUCUUCAUCACAAUUGUAGAUAAAGUUGUGAACGUUUAUUUGGUAUAUUGUUUUCCCAAUUUGGAUAAGCGUACGGCCUGCUACGAUUUUUGGAAGAAAAUGUGACAACAAAUAACGUUGGUUUCUAGUUUAAUGUCCAUAGUUAGCAUCUAUCUGUUUCAUUAGUUAUUUGAGUCAUUAGUUAUUUGAAAUUUGUCUUAUGCACAUUGAGCAACAAGUUUAAAGUAAUGUGAUCGAAGGUGAAGCUUAAGAAACUAAUGGAUUCUUAUUUCAGGUGUCAUUCGUGGUUGUGUACCUAAGAAAAUUUUGGUCUAUGAUGUUGCUUUUGGUGCUAACUCGAGGUGAGAAGACUUUGUUAUUUGAGAAAGAUUUUGUUAGGUAUUUCUUCAAGUUAUAUAACCAAAUUUAACCCGACAGCUAUGUUGGCGAAAUUCUGAGAAAUAGUAAACCUUCUGCCGCACCUGUUUUCGGAGCCGAAAUCGAAGGGUUUGGAGUGAGAUUUUCGAAUCAGUCUUUUCACAAAAGUCGUCGAGGACCGUGAUAAUUAUAUGUAAGUGUUAAAUUGCUUCUAAUUCGAGCAAGUUUUAUAGCCUUUUAGAAAUGAGAAUUUGACGGCAGUGAGUCUGCCAAAAACAGGGCAGUUUUGAUGAAUCAUCUUCGUUGGGUUUUAUUACCGUCUUAGGGUAAUAAUUUGGGAUAUAUUUCUUAAGUAAACUUUUAGAUGAAGUUGUCAGCUUUGAUUUGGUAUAUUGUUUGGCCAAUUUGGAUAACUUUGCAAAUACUUAUGAAUUUUACAAUAAACUGUACCAGAAAAGAGAAUUUAUCCGAAAUUCUGGCAGUUUUCUGUAAUCAUCUUUUGGGCCUGUUUUGCAUAUGCUGGGAUCAUAAUUUGUGAUCAGAGUCUUCAGUGAACAUGUAGAUGCAGUUGUUAGCUUUCAUUUGGCAUAUUACGUUCCCAAUUUGGAUAAUUGUACCAAUUGUUAUGAUUUUUCAAAGAAAUUGUGGAAACAAAUGUUUUAAACCUUUGUUUCGAGAACUCGUCAAACAAACACGAGUCAACUCCGUACCAUGUGAAUUGAUGCCUGGAGUGUGUUGUAUUUGGUAAAUAGAACGCCAUAGAAAUUGUGUAUUAUGUUCGAUUGUCAGUUAUGGCAUAAGAUUUAAAUUAGGAUGUUUAUAUGAAAUAGAACCGAAUAGUGAACGAUUAUGUUAACAUUCGAUAACUUGUUUAAUUCUAAUAUUUGAUAGGUGUUGAGUAUAUUUAUGCUCUCAUUAAAGACUUGAGCAUGACUCCAAAGUGUUUUUAUAGCACUUGCAUUGGAUUCAGGUGAGAAUCUCUAUUUCUUCACUAUUAUUUAUUAAAUUUUGAGCGCAGAUACAUUAUUGAAUUUUGAGUGCUACUAAGUGACAAAUGAUUGGAAUUGAUUCUAUCAUAUGAUUUCUUAUUUUCUAAUUGAUUUUUUUCCCUUUUUCAGGUCAGGUUGGACUGUUUGAUGAAGUGAAAGAACGUUAUCGUGGAAGUCAUAUUUGUUGUCGCUUAACAAUUUAUGAAGUGGAAUUUAUUAUGAAAUAAUUAUAGUAAUCUUUCUUAUUAUUUGAAAUGAUUGAUUUAUUAUUGUAUGUAGUAUGAUAGAUUGAAAUUAUAAUAUUCACAUUUGAUUGAUAAUGUGUAAAUUUGCAAGCUUUAGUUUUAUUUUAAUUUUUUUUUACAGUCACGGUUGCAAAUAAACAUUAAUGAUUAAUGCAACCAAUUAAUUGUUGGUCUGAAUUGGUCAGUAAAUUUAAUAAUUGCCGCAAUCGUGUAAAAACUAUUGCAACCAAUAAUAUGGUCACUAUAUGUAUAUAUUUUAGCAACCAACAGUUAUAUUAUUUAUCAACCAAUAUAUACCGUCACUAUAUGUAUAUUAUGUAGCAACCAAAAAAUGUGGUGGCCAAAUAUAUAUUCUAUAGCAACAAUAAUAUAUGGUCACUAUACGUAUAUAUCAUUUAGCGACCAAAAUUAUAUGGCCACUAUAUAUGUUGCUACAGCAACCAUGUUAAUAUUAUUGCCACCAUAAAAUUUACAUUAGCGAGUCAAAAACUGGUCGUUAAUAAUUAUAUUUUUAGUGACCACUAUUAGUUCGCCACUAAAUCUCAUCUUUUAGCGUCCAAUUAAUUUUCUUGUCACUGAGUACUUUUAGUAACUACCCUGUUGUGACCACCGGUGACCAACCUUAAUUUGGUCGCCAUAAGUUUUAGCUACCAUUUUCUAACUUUUAGCGACCAUACAAAAUCGUCACUAAAACCAAAAUUUCUUGUAGUGUGGGUUUAAAUAAACUUGUUAGGUCAUUUGGACAUGUUAAUUAAUAGGUGUGGGAAUCAAAAUGAAAUUUUCGAAUCCGUCGAUUCCGGUCUAAAAGUAUCUGAAUUUGGAACUGUAUUUUCAUUCCGAUUUUCGAUUUUUUUAAAACGAAAUCGGAGUUGUAUAUAAAAUUAACGGAAAUUCCAAUUCCAAUUCCGAUCCGAUUUUAGUGACACAUAUUUUAAUUGUUUUUCGAAGUAUAUAAUAUAAUUUUAUGAUAUAUAAUUUCAUAAUAUAACUUAUGUUAUAUAUUUUUAUGAAAAAAAUUAAUACCGAAGGAUCAAGUAACUUAAAACCUUAGAAAAAAUUAAUUGGUAUCAGGAUUUUUCUAUUGCAUUUUUUUCUUAUUAAAAAAUCUAUGUUUCAAUUUGUUACGGUGUUUCUACGUGUGGUUUUAUUUAUUGCAUUUUGUCGAACUCUCUUUUGGAUUUUCUUGCAUUUUCCUACAAAAAUUUAAAAAAAAAAUAUAGAAACAAAUUGUGAAAAUUCCCAUGACAUCUGAAUUUGGAACAAGAGUAUAUAAUAUAGUUUCCAAAAUCUCCUAGAGUCUCCUGAUUUCGAGUCAUUACGAAAUCGGAAUGAAUUAUUGCAUUCUGAAUUUUUUGGAACGGAAAUUGGAACCCAUUUUUUACUUCCGAACAAAAUUGGAAAUUUUCCGCAAAAUCUAUUUUCGAUCCAUUUCGUCCGAUUUCCAGCCUUAUAAUUAAGGGUGGGAUAUGUGUUUUUGAAUGUAUUUUUAUUUAGAAAAGACACACUUAUAAUAUAUAUAUUUAUAUAAUAUUUAAAGCAAAAUUAUCUGUCGUAACAAUUUUAUACAAUAUUCCAUGAAAUGGGUCCAGAAUAUUAUUAGAUUCUGCACUUUCUUAGUCUUCAUACUACCAAAGCUCCCAGCUGUCUUUUUUGUCUAUGGUUUUUUUUUUUUAAUGCACUGAAAGUACUGUUGAUAACUCUUUCUUUAAUUUGAUGCUCAUUUAAUAUUUAAUAACAUUGUCCAUAUAUAUAUAAAAUGUAAGUAUAUGUUAUAUAUAUAGGUAAAUACACGUUAUAUUUGAUGUAUUUUAAGUGAAUCAUAGUACGGUAUUUGUGUACAUUUAAUUUAUACUUCUUGUCUCGCAAUUACAAACUCGAAAAAACAAUUGUCUUUUGGCACCUCGAACCGCGGGUUUUUGGCCACAGAAUCUUACAGAUUGUAACACUAAUUUUUUAUUUUUUUUUUGCUGUUUAAACUAAUGACAAUUAGUCUUCGAUUUUAGUAAAAUAUAUAUAUAUAAAAAAAAACUAUCUUUAUAACCAAAGGGCUCGAUUUCUGCAGUUUAAGAUAAUAAAAAACACUGAAUGUCGAAUCGAAUUACCGGUUCGGUAAUCGGCACGUACCAAAUUUUUGUUUGGUUUGGUUCGGUUCUGGUUGGUUUACCAACCGACCGGAUGAACACCCUUGGGUAAAUUUGAGACGUAAGGGUGGACGUUUAACAAUACAUAGUUGAGGGGGUGACUGCAAUUAUAAAAAUAUGAGGGUUUUUUCGUAGUUUAAGCAAACGUCUGCGGCGAUCAUAAUUUGCCCGAUUUUUUUCUUACUAAAACUUAAUGUGGUCUAGUUAUCAAGUUUUCCAUUCGUUUUUUUUCUUUUCCUUUGUCAACUCUCGAUAGAGGUUAGUUAGGAAGACACAAAAUAAGGUUGCGUUUGAAUUCAAGGAUUUGAAAUGAAUUUGAAUACGGAGGAUUCGAAAUGACUUUAAAUGAGAAGACAUCUGAAAUAAAAAAUUGUUCAAAAAACAACUAAAUAUGAGAGCAAUAUUUUUGAAGUCCUCAGAUUUUGUUGCAUUUUGCACCUUUGUUAUAAAUAUUAGCUAACAAUCACCGAUGAUACAUUUUUUUUAGCACAAAAACCCCUGAGUGAUGCAUUUUUAGGGACUGUUUGCUAAUAAAUUGAAUCAUAAGGAAGAUUUUGUUAAUAUUUAUACUACGGGGAGUUUUUUGACAAUUCGGAUAAAAAUAUGGAUGUUAGAUGCAAUAAACCACUAAAUACAAUGUUUUAUGCAAAAAAAAUAUGGAUGUUAUGUGCAAAAAAAAAAAUAAUACUAAACUUCAAAUUAAGAUUCAUGGUUUGGAUCCAAAUAAGGUACAGAUUGAACUUCAAAAUUGGCAGUCAUUAAAAGAAAUGACAUUUUUACCCUUCUUAGUGAAUUAAAUUUUAUGAGGACGAAGCUUCUAAGCACUGAACUAUAGGAUGCACCGUCUGGCGGUGGCAAUAAUGACAUUUUUACCCUUCUUAGUUUAUUCAUUUUCUUUUAAAAUUGAAUCAUUACCAAAAGAUUUUUUUCCAAAUAUUAAAUAUUAUGCACAAUAAUUGUUUACAUUUUUUAGGGAUUAUUGCACGAGGUGAGAUUGUACCUUAAAUCUUAAUAUAGAGAUACAACCACUUCAUUAACAUGCUAAGUGGGUCUACUAACUAAUUAAUUUUGAAUAAUUAAUAACUAAUUGUUGUUUAUAUUGGGAAUUCCUUUGUUUUUUUUGUUUGAUCGUACGCUACUAUCAUCUUAAACGUACUUGAAUAAAUGGAUAAUAAUUCACACCCAAUCGUGUUUAGACACUCAAUUUGCACAAACUACAUCAAACAUUCAUCCUAAGCAAUUUAUUAAAAAUUGCAUAACUCCUUUCAUUAUCAUCUCAAAUAAUACAAGAUCUUUUUCAGGGGAAAAAAUAAAAUCUAAUUCCUCAUACAUAUAUUUGAUAAAAAAAUAAAAAUCAAUUUUCGUUGAUUCUGAUCUGAUUUUUUUUUUUCAAAAUGAUUUUUGACUUUACCAAAUAUGUUGCAUUGGAAUGUAUAUGUCUAUUCUUUUAAAUUUUCGAUCCAAUUUUAAUUUUCUAAAAUUCCGAAUUUCUGGUUUUAUUAUUCUACUAUGUGUAUAUGAUAUAUUACAUUUUUUACUUGAUCGGAAAUUAAUUAAACUUCUACUACAUGCUACGUUCAACAUUCACGGUAUUGGUAACUCCAAUGCUAAAUAUCAAACUUGGAUUAUCAAAUGCUCAUUUGAUAUUUAAGAUACUAUUUUAAAAUACAUUUAAAACUCAUAUGCUCCAACCAUGGUAAUCAAAUUUUAUUAUCAAUUGGAAGUUUUUUGAUAAUUUUACAUGUAAUCGCCACAUGUCAAUUUGUCAUUGGUUGGUUAGGUGGUUAUUGUUUUGAUAACUCAAUCUCCAGGAAGUAUUUUUAGAUUCAGAGUGGUGAAAUAUCAAAAUACAAACUCAUUUUAAUAACCCCUUUGGAGAACAAAGUUUUUAAAUUUUAGGAGUCAAAUAGUAGUUAAGAGAUUUGAUAAAUCGUUUAAUAACUCCAUUGGAGUUGCUCGUUCCUAUAUUUUCUUUCUAUUUUAUUUCAACUAAUUUUCUAUAUUCGGUUUUAUCAUCAUGUCUAUGAUAAAUGUCGAUUAUAUAGGUGAGUUGAUUUUUUUUUUAAAUUCACACCGAGUCUAGAAAAAUUCAUGCUAUUGAUUUUCAUAAAAGCCGGGCUAUUUUUUUAAUAUGGAAUUUUAUAAAUAAUAUUUUAAACAAAAAUUAUUUUUAUUAAGAAAAUAUACAAAGAGAACGUUAAUGAAUUUUAGUACUCUCUUCUUCCCAUAUUAUAUAUCUUUUAAGAUGGUUGCGCGGAUAUUAAAAAACCUAGUAAAUAUGCAUAGAUUAUACCGAAACUAACAUAGUCAAUACUAAAAUUCCCUUGUCAUUAAUUAUUUUCAAUUAACUAAUUACGAAUGAUAAAUGACAAAUUUGAUAAAAAUGCAAUUAAUGCUUUGUUGGAACUCUAAAAUGACAAAUAAUUUGGGACAAAAGAAAAAAAAAAAAAAAAUGGGACAGAGGGACUACAGAAACUAUAUAAGUUUUCAUAUUUUGUUUUUUUUUUUUUUGCUUUUAAUGGGAAAUUUCUAAUUAUUUUUUGUACCUAAGUUGAAAAAUCUAGAGUUGGUAAGAUAUGAGAUUUUGUAUAUUCAUUUAAAAUAAAAUAAAAUGUUACACCAAUUUCCCUACUAUCAUUAAUGUUGCCUCAUGUUUCAAGAAAUUAAUCAAGCAUGAUUCUGUGAAGCACGUCCCAAUCUUCAACCUCAUUUGGUUUCAAUUUUAAAAUUAGCUAAUUUGUCGUUUCUUGAUCUAUUGAGAGAGAAUUAUUAGUGAAACAAUGGGUAAAUUACAAUCAACCCCUGUUGUAUGGUCAAUUUACGAAAAAAACCCCUUUCGUUUGGAUAAUUACAUCUCCCCUCAACUAUGAUUUUUUCUUACACCUCCACCCUUAUGGUGUCAAACUCAACAUAAUCAUCUAGAUUUCGUGAAAUGUGCUCUAGUUUGUACUCGUUUUGUGUAAAAAUACAGUUUAUGAUGCACCGCAAUCUGAUAUAUACAAGCUUAAAAACACAUAUUAUGAUCAUCUUACUUCAAAAUGUGGAGUUCGAAUAGGAUAAAACGGGUACAAAGGUGAUAAUAAUCCAUAUAAUCUCGAAAACUCUACUAAAUUUGAAACCUCUAGGGUGGACAUGAAAAAAGAUUUAUACUUGAGGAGGAUUAUUAUAAUUAUCCAAACAAAAGAGGGUUUUUUGUAAUUUGACCAUACCUUAGGAGUGAUUGUAAUUUUACUUAUACUUAUUAAAAUUUUUAAUACAUGUGCACUAACCCAAAACGGUUAUUAAAAUGUGAAGGGGGGUAAUUUAUUAGUGAUAAAGAAAUCAUUUUCUUUAAUAAAAGUUUGUUUUUUAGAAAAUAUUUGUUCAUUUUUAUUAGCUAAGAGUCCAUGUUAUAUUGAGGGUUGUGAAUAGUCUAGGCAGUGGCGGAAUCAGGUAUAUAUAGUUGGGGAGGCGGAAUUUUAGAUGGUAUGCUAAACAUUUGUAGGGGCAUGACUUGCUCGAGGGUAUGUACUGUAGUCGAUUUUUUCUAAGGAUAUUACAUAUGAAGAUGAAUUACAUGAAUGUGUGAUAUUGUUAAAAAAAUAAAAUAAAAAAUAAAAUAUUAAUUAGAAAUAUAGAAUCGAGAAUCAAAUUUGAAAGAAAACUAAGUUGACAAAAUAUAAAUAGUAUUUCUUAAGGUGGCUAAUACAUAACAACAUAUAAUUAAGAUAAUAUAUUAGUAAUUAGUAGUAAAUAAGCAAAAAUCAUUUUUUUUGGGGGGGGGGGGGGGGGGGCGGGGGUCAUGGGCCCCGACCUGCCCAGCCCUAGUUCCGCCAGUGAGUCCAGGGGUGCGCAUCGGUCAAUUUUCAAAAGUUCACUGUCAAUUUUCAUAAUCUACCAAUUAUAGAAAAAUGCCAUGCCUCCUCGGUCAUGUUUCUUGUCAUUACUUUAAAAUUUCUUGUAAUUUGGGUAGAAUUUACAAAUUGUAAGGUAAGUUUUAGUGUAACUAAUCUCAUUUAAGUAAUAUUUGUGUCAUUUAUGUACAUGUUUAUUUGUUUCAAUAUUACACUUUCUCUGAGUUUAAAUUCACAAAAAAUAUACAAUUCGAUGCAUGCACAAACAUUUUUUUUUUAUCAAAGCAUCUUAUAAAUAGAUUAAACUCAAAAAACACAUAAUGAAAAUGUAACUGAAAAAACAAAAAAGCUGUUUUAUUUUUUUGGGAAAUAAAAAACACAAAACUAAAAAAAAAAUCAAUAUUGUAUAAUUGUUGUCCAGCGGUGGCCUAGUUAUUAGAAUAAGAGAGUUCAAUUUCAAAUUAUUCGAGUUCAGAUUCAUGUGUCAAUGGUUUUUAAGUUAAUCUUGUCACAUAUUACUUAUGCUUAGUUUAAUGUACAUAUCUCCUGAGAUUUGGAAGCUAUUACAGGAGAGUAGAUUUUUACAAAGUUCGCUUAUAUGAUUAGCUGUGAAUUUCUUUUCUGUCAAACACAAAUAAAAAAAUGUAUAAUUGAUUAUGUUAAACAAACACACUCGAAAGAAUAAUUAUAACGUAUAUAAAUGUACAAUGUCGAUGCAUAAACGAAAACGUUGUGACUUAAAAACACAAGAAACCAAUAAAAAUACUCGGACAUAUCCAAAUUAUCUUUUCGCCUAAGACAUAUCUUAACUUUCGAAAAAAAGAAAUGAAGUAUCGAAAUAGAAAAAUGAAUUUAAGGCAUAAUAAACGACAUUGAAUGGUAAUGUAAUACUCCAAGGACUUCCCAAAAAAAAAAAAAAAGAAAUUGAAUUGAUGAACUUUAAUCUAAACCAAAAAUAAGAGUAUUGUUAGGGCUAAUAAUGUUUUUCCAUCCUACAAACUAUUAUCUAAUAUUUCAUCUUUUUUUAAACAAUUCAAAUGUCAACUCUGAUUAAGGUGAUGUUUGCAAAAAUCCAUAUAUAAGCAAAGGCGGCCGUUAUAUGCAAGCCUAUUUUUUUAUUAGUUCAAACCCACAUAAAGGGAUUUAUUAGUUCAAACUCAUAAAUUAAUUUAAUUUUAUUACAUCAAGACCAAAGAGGACGAAUAUACCCUUAUCCUCAAAUAAUACCUAAAUACAAAUUAACCCUAUUUCUUAUUUGUACAAGACCAAAAAAUAAAAAACUCAAAAGAAAAAAAAAAAAAAGAAUACGGAAAAAGAAAACGGCCGCACGACCACUGCAGAAGAUCGUCGCACGACUACCGCAGAAGACCGCCGCGACUGCCGCACGACCACCACCAGACCGCCGGCAACGAUCAGCAAGCCACCACCACCGCACCAUCACCACCACCACCACCAAACCAUCUCCACCGCACCAUCACCACCACCGCACCACCACCAACAAGUAAGGCCACUCAAGUAGAGCUUCUCGUGUCUCAAAUAUUUGUUCGGUAGAAAAUUCAUCCGAAUACUCCAUCAAUCCCCUAGGUUGCUGCAAGAAAGUACGGAAAAACGGUCUUAAAAAAACAUAUAUAAUAAAAUCGGUGCUCAAAAACCGAUUUUAUGUAGUCUAAAUCGGCAUUAUAACACCGGUUAUAGACAAAAAAAUCGGCUUUGUCAUGCUGUUUUUUACUACAAAAAUCGGGUUUUGAGUACCGAGUUGUAUUCCAGCAAUCGGACUGUAGUUGCCGAUUUUCGCAACAAAAAUCGGUUUUUAAAUAUCGAUUUUUGGUGUCGUCGAUUUUUUUUUUCCAACAAAAAGAAAACGACCCAAAAGCAAAAAUAAACGGUUAAAACAUACCUUAUUGUGUUCUCCACCCUCGUAAACCACCAUAUCAUUGUUUUUUGGCUCCAUCGUGAAUGUUUGGUGUGUAUUUGAUAAUUUCGGCGUGUAGGGUUUCUUGGUGGCUUUGUGAAGAAGAAGGAGGAGAUUUUUAAGUCGUGAAAUAAUGAAAGGAGAUUUAUAGGGUUAUGUAUUUUAUUUGGUCUUGCACAAAGGAAAUAUUUUUUUUAUUUUUUUAAUAUUUUGUGUUUUUUAUUUACUUUUGAAUUUCAUUAAGGGUAAAUUAAUAGGGAUAUUUACUUUACUUUAUUUGGUCUUGCAAGGAAAUAAUGAAAGGAGAUUUAAUAUUUUUAUUUUAUUUGGUCUUGCACAAAGGAAAUAUUUACUUUUGAAUUUUUAUGUUGGAGGUUUUGAACUAAUAAAAAAAUGGGUUUGCAUAUAACGGCCGCCAUAAGCAAAAGUUCGUGACUUUGAGUUAAGUUAAAAUAAAUAUUUUUAGGGAUAUUUGCAAAUACUGUAGAAAAAUCAAUUUUAGUUUCUAGCUUAUUUAUGGUGAACUAUGUAGGUUGUCCUAAUAAUUUGAAUUUGGAUAAGAAAUAAAGGAAACAACUCCUAGGAUGUUUCUCACUAAGGAUGGACAUUCGGAGCGGGUCAAGUUUUUCGGGAUAUUAGGAUGGGGUUAUUCGAGUUUUGGCAUAGAAAUCAUUAUCCGAACCCGAACCCGAACCUGACCGAUUAUUUUGGGUUGGGUUCGAUUUUUUAUUUUUUUUACAAGAAUAAUAUUGAUUUUUGAAAUUUAGUAGUGCCAUUAUGUCACCACCUAGUACAGAGCCAUUUAUUUCUUAAAAAUAAUAACAAAAGAAGCCCCUUUUUUGGGUCCUAUGCUCAUUUUAUUUGAAAAGAAAAUUUCAUUUUUUUUUUCUACUUUGCGUUUUUUGUUUUGCCUUUUUUUUAUUUUUUUCCGAAAUUUUGGUAACUUGACAAUUGACAUAUUGACAUUUAGUAAUUAGUACAAUGUCAAUUACAAUCGACAAACAUAAGAUGGGCUAUGUAAGAAAAUUGGAUUGGGUUUGAGAGCAAGAUAGGCCCUAGAGUCUAGUUUUUUUUUUUCUUUUUUUUUUUUUUUUUAAGCUAGGUACUCGAUGGGGUAUCCCGGUAGGAAUACUAAUACCCGGAUCCGACUAGAUUUGUGAACACCGGGUAUCCGAAUCCGGCAGAUCCCGGUAAGUUUGAAAAUUACUUGAUCUAGUCGGAUAAAACCUGACCGGGUCGGGUUACAAUCCGAAUAUCCCGAUCCAAAUGCCACCCAUAUUUCUCAAAUUAUAGUUGUUGACACCAAAAUUUUGAGAAAAAUCACUAAUUAAUAACCAAAAUAAUUGGCUAGUAAGUUGAGUAACAAAUGAAAGUCCAUAAUAUAUUUGCACUUUAUAAAUAUGUUAAAUUGAUUAAUUAAAAAGUAAAUACUUUUUAUUAUUAGCUAAUUGGGCCAAAUAUGUCAAAUGACAUGUAUCCAAGUUCACCAACCUAUGCUACAAAUCAAGAAAUCCUAGUAUGUGCACAGAAAAAGAGACUUCGAUGCAUGCAAUAUUCAGACUCACAUGGACACAUAUCAAGCUCUCAACUUAAGUUUCGAUUAUCCGCCACGAUUUCAUAACAUAUUUGAAUUUGAGGUGUUUAUAUUUAUUCGAUUAAAAAACAAGCUUCUUUAGGACAGAAGAAUCAUGAAAUUAUUUAGAGAAUGCAAUCCAUUUCGUUUGAUUAUAUGUGUUUCCUAUUUUCAUGUCUCGUAUUUAUAUUUGGCAUCCGCGAAAUUUGUGAUUAACAAUAGUUCAACACUACUUGUUUCUAGAGCGGAUGAAGUAAAAAUCAAUGUCCAAUUCUUUAGAUAGUAUAAGAAUUUGUUUGCAUAAGUAAUGAUAUUGCAUUCCCACUGCAAUCACCAUUAUCACACAUAAUGGUUAUUUGUAACUCUAUAUUUAUUAUGUUCAAGCUAAUGAUAUUGUAAAUCUUGACCUUUGAGUUGUUGUCUUUGCUGUACUAUAUUAUAUGUAGUAACACCAUGUAAUGCUUUGUACACAUAUCAAGAAGAGAAAUACAAACAUUCUACAUAAUUGUUUCAAAAUUCAUAAUUGUUUGUUAAGCUCCUCUGUAACUAAUCUCUCAAUUUAACCAGGUGAGCAAGCACGAGCUCGAAUAAUUAUACUAAAUCGAGUUCUAGCACGAACACGAACACGGACACAAGCUCGACUCAAAAUUUUAUUAUUAUAUAUAUGUUUUGCUACUAUAAAUUAUCUUCUAUUCAUAAUUUAAAAAAAAAAAAAAAAAAAGAAUUAACAAAAAAAAAUACCAAACUAGUGACUAAGUUUAACCCCUAGAUGGUGGGCUUGUUAUCCCAUUCUCUAUCUACACUAGUGUGAAUCAAUGGGAACCCCAUCAUCAAUAAAAUUCCUUACAAAUGAAAUAUGACUGUAGUAGCACUUUCUUGACUGUGUAAGUAUAUACUUUCUUGAUUGUAAGUAUAUAACAACCAAAGCAGCCUCUCCUAUGAAACAUCUAAUGCUUGUCCAAACUUCUCCUCCAAUGCUACCACCUGUUUAAAGUCAAUUCCAAACACGAACAUGACCGGGUAUCCUAUGCGCGAUAAGUUAAGAGCAGAAACCGAUCAUAUAUUCAAAAUCUGAACGACGACUAAACAUUUCCGGCAGGCAGAAAAUUUCUAAUGGUUUUAAGCAUAUACGAAUACGAUGAAUAUUCACCGUUUCUUGAGUUCUAAAGAUACAAAUCUUACGUGUAAGGCGCGUGUUUCCCAGUUUAAAGCAGAAGGCCAUAAAUACACACACACACAAACAACAAAUCUUUCAAGCCGCUAGCUACACUGUAUGAUACAAACACACACACACACACACACACUCAAACAAGAUUACAUGCAUACAUACAUACAUACAUUGCUUACCAGCUUCCGUCGUCUCUCUCUCUCUCACCUUCUUCCACCCCCACUCCCUUGAAACAGCUCGUUAAUCCGAGCCUCGAUAUCCUCCACUCUAUACCUGAUAUACCUAUCCGCGUUCUUGCUAAUAUCCGGUACACUCUGCAGCCUCGCAAUAAAAUUACGGUACGCAUUACACAAAGCAACCGAAAUCGAACUCCUCAACUCCUCCCUCAACUGAUCGUCGAAUAUCACCCACGAGGACUGAGUCUUGCAUGUCUCCUCAAAGUAGGAAUUGAACAACUUCAGCUUCUCCUUCAAGUUCUUGGACCCCCGAUUGGGCGACGCGGAAAAAUUGUUGUCCAGUUUGAGAACUCCCAAAACCUUACUCCAAGAACUCCUCUGAUAAUUCACAUGGUACUGCCUCACUUUCGCCGUGUGUUUCUUAACCCAAUCGUCGCCUAACAGCACCCCCAAAUCGUUGUCUCUCACCUUCUGCACUAUGUACCUCCCAUUGUUCAUCAUGAAAACCGAGCACAAAGCGGAAUCCCUAUAAGUCUUCGACUUUGCCUCCAGAUUACUCUCCAACAACUCCAUUAUCCACUCCAUUUGCACCGCUAAACUAGACGACGAGGAAUCGUUCCCCUUUCUGUAGUCAAGAUUGCUUCCGCCGCUCUCUUCAAAUACCUGCUCCAACGUUUGACGGGCCCUACACGCAGCCCGAAGAUAAUUCAUCACGUAUCGAGUAAUGGGGUGCAAUCUUCCUCCAGGAACUGCGUCUUUAGCCGGGUCCCGCCUGAUUAAAUUCUCCAACUCCAUGAAUAUUCCCCUGAUAGAUUCCCCGAGUCUCUUCCAAAUAGUUACGGCUUCGUUUCUCAGAGACGAACAGUACUGGUCGGAAAAGAUUAAUUCGAUCUCCGGCAUCAAGUCCCUCACAGUUUCGUAAACAUCGAGCACCUUGAAGAGACGCUCCGGGGCCCGGCUUCCGAUUGCGACCGCGUCGGCGAAGUUGAGGAGCUGAAUGGUGGAACCCCUGCAGACCUCCAUGAAGGAGAGGUCGGCGGCGGAGGAUAAGGUGAAGAAGAUGCGGUCGCAGAGGCGGCGUUCGCUGGGGAAGAGGAUUCGAACACCUAAGUUCAUUGCUUUGAUCCAUUUCUCGAUUUCGUCUUCUAGCUGGGUCCACUGCAUUCUGUGAACAUCGUCGAUGCUGAGCUUCGAAAGACCCAGCCUCGAAAAGCUCUCCUCCAGAAAAUCCCGCCGGCACGUGCUGUACGCGUGCGAGCACUCCUUCACGUACCCGGCGGCCACCAUCCUCUUCGCGAUCUCGUGGAGGUCUCUGAUGGUGCCGGACGGGAGAGCGUCGAUUGUGAUGUCGUAGUCGGUUAUGGGGUGGGCUACCGGGGUGAGGCUCCCGUCGUCGAAAUCGCCGCCGUCGUCGUCGGACGAGGAGUAGUCGGUGUGGGGGUGAGUUGACUCGGACCGAGUCAGGUCGUACGACUCGGCGCCGCGCUCGACGAGGGUUCGGAACUCGUCCUCGAGGCGGAACAUGGACUGCUGGAGGAGAUCCUCGGCGCGGUCGAGGCAGGAGGAGAUGUUCUUGUCGUCGGCGAUUGGGGUCCAAUCGCGGACGACGGCGGUCAAUUGGUCGACGGAGGCGAGGAAGGAGGCGGAAUCGGCGGAGUUGGACCAGAUAGGGCGGUCGGCGUUGACGUAGCGGGAGAUCUGGCGGUCGAGGGAGUUGAGCGUCUGCUCGACGUCGUCGUCGGAGAGCUUCUCGGUGAGCUUCUCGCGGAGGCGGCCGUCGAAGUUGGAGAAGAUCUUGAGGAUGUCGUCGGUCAUGGUGUCCGUGUGGCCGAGGGUCUUCGCUAUGUGGCGGGCUACAGCUAUGAGCUUCUCCUCGCCGUUGUCCGCCAUUGUUAGUUAAUCCCGAUCGAUUUCUGCGCCGAUUGGAGUUUUGCCCUAGAAACACACGAUCAAACCCUCGAAAGAGAGAUUUGACGGUGGUUAGGGGCGGCUGCAGAAAUUAAGAGACAAGGGAUUGGGUGGGGCCCUAGCGGAGAGUGAUGGGGGAAACGCGGUUUAUGUGACUGAUGAUAGUGAAACUAUAGAGAGGAGAGAGAUUAGAGAGAGAAAGAGGAGAGAGAAAGAAGAGAGAGAGAGAGAGAGAUAAAGGAAAAGUAAAAAGGGAAAAAAGACGAGUGGGAGUGAUUGAGGCAAAGCAGAGAUGGUGGUAACGUGAGAUCCACUGGUUUUGCCUCUUCUCUCUUUUCCUUUUUCUUAGUUAAAACGGUUAUUUUUUUUAAAUAUUAAUUAUUAUUUUAUAAUUAUAAGUUUAAAAAAAAUUUAAAGAUAAAAAAAUUAAUUUUUGAAUUCAAAUUCUAUUGAAUGUCCAAGGUGAAAGAUGGGUAGAAUUUGAAAUAAAAAAACAUAGACCGCUAAUGAUUAAGAUUAGUUACAACAUUUAGAAUUAGUGUUUUACAUGAGUCUUUUUGUGUUGUUAUUUGGUUUGAUGAUUGUUGAAACAAAGUACAAUAACAACAGCAUAAGAGUAACUUAGAUAUCAAAAUGGAGCAUUAAAUAUUCAUUUGGUGUUUUAUAUAAUACUUUGAUACUCUUGAAAAAAAAAUUCACUCCAACCACAAGUAUCAAAUAGAUUAUCAAAUUUUAAGUAUAUGAAUAAUUAUAUUUUUAAAUGCCACGUGUCAAAUAGUGAUAGGUUAAUUGGGUGGUUAUAUUUUUGAUACCUCAUUUUCCAGGGAGUAUUUUUGCACGUAGGGUUGGUUGAGUAUCAAAAUGAUUCUCACUUUAAUGCCUCCAUUGGAGGAGGAUUUUUUAAUUUUGGAGUAUCAAAGUGGUAGUUUUUUAGUUUAAUACCUCAUUUAGUGCCUCCAUUGAAGUUGAUCUAAGGAAAUAGAGAGAAUGCAAAUAACAAAUCCGUAUAGCAUAAAUUUAUGGGGUCAUCUUUUUUGGGGGAAACAUUUUAUCUUACAAUACGUACGAGUUACAUUUUUUUUUUUAAUUUACGUAAAAGUUACAUCACCGUAGAAUAGACAUGGGUAAUUGAUAAAUUAAUGAAAAAUUAAGAAUCAUCAAAUGAUUGUGCUAGGAAACUCCACGUUCUAUAUUGUUUACAACAAACAAUGGAAAGACUUGGUUAUUUUUUUCUUCUUAAAAGAGAUUCUAAAUUUUUAAAUAAAUUAUAGGACAAAUGUCACAUGUGUUUGUUUUACACUCAUUCUUAGGGCUGGAAAAAAAAUGCCAAUUACCAUGUACCACGGUAUACCUACCAAGAAAUACCGAAAAAUUACCGAAAGAACGAUUACCAAUGUUUACGGUACGGUACUAGUACCGUACCAUUACAAUAUGGUACGGUAGCGGUAUUGUAUUUCUAAUACCACGGUAAUACCGUACCGUACCGCAAUUUAUAUUUUAUAAUUCGAUUAAGAUAUUUACUUCGAUAUUAUUUUUUGUAAUUAUAUUUUUUACUUGGAAACUUAUGAGUUGCAACAAUUAUUUUUACCUUAAGUUAGUGGUAGUGUAUUUUUACUUAGUUGUUUCAUUAAACCACAUUUAUUUGGGUUUAUAUUCUUGUUUCAUUGAAGCAAGUUAUGUUUAUUAUUCAUAUCAUACACUCGGGCCUUCUUAGAAAAUUAGAUACACUAGAACUUUUUUCAAUUGAGAUUUACAUAUUUGUUAGCUCAUUUGUUGUUUAAUCUUUGAUACAAUCACCACGUACGGUAGAGUACCACGUACCGAUUGUACCGUACCGAAAAUAAUGGUAUACCAAACAUUGGUAUACCGAACAUUUUGGUACGGUAACGGUAUGAAAUUUUCAAUACCACAAUGUACGGUAGGUACACGGUAUCGAGCCAAAUGUUUGGCAACCGUACCGAAUCCACCCCUACUCAUUCUUAUUAAACCCUUUCUACUAUCAUUCAUACCAUUAUUCUCUUGCACCAAUAGAAUUUUCAUCCAUCAAGCCUUGCGGUUAAAAUCCAAUCAUUUAUAUGUGUAGAUCCGGACAACAAAUAUCAUCCAUUAUAAUUUGUUAAGAAAGUCCAAUCCACGCAAGUUCAAUAAAACAAAUAGGUUCAUGCUCAUGAACCACAUUGGAAGGCACAUGCAUCCUCGUAAACUGCGUAAACGAUGAUGACCUUACGAGCUAAUACGGCGCUCCGAUCAUGGCGAGAUGGCAGACACAUUUAUUAUUGUAACUAGUGUAUUUUGAUGCUCAGACAUGCCCAUUAAAUACCCUGACACGAGCAUUUAACGCAUAAGUGUCCGACGACAGUCGAAAAACUUGAGAAGACUUUGAUUCUUCUCUACCCCUAGAGCAUGCCUAGAGGCAUUGCUAAAACCGUGACUAGAUGAUUAGGUGAUAAUGAUGGUCCGAAAUAUCAUGACACGUGCGAAAAAUAGGCAAAAACGACGAUUUGAGUGGCGAUUGAGACUGACGAACCAGUUUUUAGGAUCCUUUGGAAUUCGAGGAAGGUAUAUAAAUAGGGUUUCAUUUCACCCAUAAAAGGAAAAGAGAUUCAUAUACACAAAGAAGCAAGAUCUUUUUCAGUUACUUAUAUAGAUUCUUUUAAAAACCUAUGCCGAUAUCCAUUGACUUGACCGUCGAAGUGCUAACUCCGGCGUCAGUCCUAUUCUCUUUUUCCGUGCAAAUUGACCUUAGUUUUUUGUGAUGUUCCGUAGGCGGUCAAACUCGUAAAAAUGGCGUAUUCUUUUCCAUUUUUAAAUAUCUCUUUGGCAAUGAAUUUCUCAUAUAUUUUUUUCUCACUUUAUAUUUUAAGGUUUUUUUUCAUUUACAUGUAUGCCCCACAUGCAUUGAAUUGAUAUCUUAUUAUGUUAAAAGGGGUAUUUUGGACUUUUCUUGUAAAAUGAGUACUAUUUAAUAGAAAUAUCAAUUUUGUUAAUUUAACAUAAAUGUCACUAUUAAAUGGAUUGAGAAAAUAAUAAAUAUUAAAGUUAAUUUGGAUAGUUUAUAACUGGUAAUAUCCCUAUUCCGUGUCUAAAGUUCCCUAACCAAAAAAUUAUAUAUGUACAAAUAAGAAAGAAAAAAAAUGCAGGAACUCAAUUCAUUCAUAAGUGUACUAGGUAAACAUCCGUUCUCGUAGAACUGCAAUUGCUUGUAAACCACACAAGUCGCGUAAGAAAAAUGAAUUUUGAAGUGUUUGUAAAACUCCUUUUCUUGUCUUAUUUGUUUCAAAAGAAAAAAAGAGAGAGAGAAGUGGUCAUAAGUCAUAACUUAUAAUUUUUGUUAUAUUAUAAUAUUGAUAUGAUAAAUAAAUAAUACUCUCUUAUUUUCAUAUUAAUUGUCAUUUUUGUUUGUUGCGUAUAUAUUAAAAAAAACUCAAUAAGUAUGUAAGGUUUGUAAUAAGAAAACAUAAAAAGUCACUAAAAUACACAUGCUAUAAAUUGAUUUUCAAUUAAUUAAGAGGGAUAAAUGGUACUCCUUUCGUUUCAUAGUAUAUGUCGUUUUGGAUGGUUGCGCGCAUAUUAAGAGAUUCGAUAAAUACCAAAAUUAACAUAGUAAAUACUAAAAUACCCUUGUCAUUAAUUAUUUUUCAAUUAACUACUAAUUAAGAGUGAUAAGGGGCAAAAUUGAUUAAAAUGCAAUUAAUGCUUUCUUAGAACUCUAAAAUGAUAAAAAAAAACAUUGGACAAAAAAUACUAAAAAAGACAAAUAAUAUGGGACAAAAUGAUUAAAAUUGAAAAAAAAAUGUAAUUAAUAAUUCAUUGAAAUUGCAAAAUAAAAAAAUAAUUUAAGACGAAAAUAUUAGACAAAGGGGCAAAUAAAUAUGAAUGAAUGAGUAACAAAUCAGCUUUUAUGAUCCGAAAGUCGUUUGUGAUCAGAUCACACAAAAGAAUGAAGCAAAAAUGUAUUUGUCAUUUCCUCGAAAUUAAGCUUCAUUGAAAGUAAGACAAACAAAUUAACAAGUCGUAUUUUUGUUGCUGCUAAGAAAAUUCAGAAUGUGUAACAGUAGUCUAAUUGAAUGUGUCAACGAUUUUGUACUUGGAAUAUUCUUUCUAGGUGUUGACUGAGUUUGAGUCUCAUCCAACAGCUUUGUUCUAUGUUACACCCUCAUUUUUUCCUGGAUUAUUUAUCAUGUAAAUGCUUAUAGAUUCUCACAUAUUUUCAAUAUAUACGUACAUACAUACAUACAUAUAUAUUAUACAACUUUUGACAAUUUCAAAUUUGGCUUUAAUUUAGCCUACUAGUAAAAGGAUUUGAUCCAUUCUCACUGACUAACAAAUUGAUAUUAAUUUAUGUCCCUCAAAAAGUCAAAUGUUAAAAAUUAAGUCAAAUGUUAAAAAUUCCUUUAUCACAAAAUAUUUUUUGGUAUUGCUCAAUUAGGCAACUUCUUUUUAAUAGAAAACAAAAUUCACAUCCAAUUAUAUAGGUGCAUUGGGUAAACCUACAGUCUCAUAUAAUAGCUUGCAAUUCAUACGAGAGACGGUUAGCAAGAGCAUUCGACAAUUAGGCACAGUUGAAAUAAACAAAUUAGUGUAUCAAGAAUAGAACCAAUUAAAUUAAACUGUGUACACAACUAGAUUAAAUUAAUUAAGUUGUACAUUGAUGAAGGUUUCAACUUUUAAGAGAGAAAAUUUCAACUUCAUAAAGGAAUUGGCCAUAUUUGAAUGAUUCCCAACAACAAUACUUCAAAUUAUUUUAAAUUCUUAGCUCACAUCUUUGAACAAAGUUCCACAUAUCAUUUUCUGUAUUAGGAAAACAUGUUUACAGGUAUUACAAUCAAAGCUCCGAGGGUUUACAAACCCUCUCAUAAAACCAGAAAAUCGAGGAUAAAGAAACAUGCCCCCCGAAAAAAGGGGGGCUGAUAAAAAGAUCUAAAAUGGUUCAAUAAGUAACCAACUUUACGUAUGUUUAUUAUGAACAUUUACUCCCUUUUGCUAGUUCACAAAGUCGAUCAUUAAGAAAACAAAAGGAAGAAAAAAAAAGUUCAAAACUGCAUAUUUUUGGCUUCUUCUAUGUGCUCUCUUUUGCGUAUUUUCGGGUCUCCUCUGCCACUUUAGCCCACUCGUUUCCUAUUUUUUCACUAUAAGCAACCUGUAAAUGCACAAUUCGUAUUCAAGGACAAGAAGCAGAACAACAAACAGAAUUUAACACCAGAUGAUUUUAUUCUAGAAUUUAUUUUUUGAUCACCAGCAUUUAAUAUGACAUUUUAUAGUGUCGUUUUUGGAACUGGUGGAAUCAGAAAAUAAGAGAUAUCGGUAGCAGUUAAUACUCGGGGAGUAAUAAAAGUACCUGAUCAACAACGAACCCUUUCAACAUUUUAACAAAGUCGGCCUGCUUUUCGCCAUCUAGCCUCUGGAUUUCAAUCCUAUUAUUUUCCUGUAAUCACACCACACUAGAUCUAUUAGAAAGGACAAUCACGAAAAAAACGAGCAAUAAGACGAGAAUAGUCAGCAGCAUGGUUUAUUUUAUUCUAAUCCAUUUUCUGCUAAUGUUUUUAGCGUUGGCGUCAGUUACAAUACUAGACAAUAAAUAUUCUAAAGAUUCUGUUCCUCUUCGAGAAUCAAAUCUUCCUUCCGUAAAUAACAAAAAACCCUUUCGAUUCAGACUAGCGGGUCCUGAUCUUUUCCAUGUUCAAAACAUGACGAGAAUUUUUAUGCCACCUACUGAUGGAAGUAAUAUAAUUCAAAAAAGAAAACAAAGUAGAAAAGGAAACAGAUAACUCUAACAAUAAAUCUUUAUGUUAAUCCUGGCUGUUAAAACGUUCUCUGAGAAAGCAUUCUCGGUAUCUAUCAAGAAGCUGAAACGUUUAAUUUUUUACUUUUUUAGCUGAUAGGUAGUGAUUAAGUUUGCGUCUUCAUUAGUAAAUCGAUUUUGUGGACAAGUCUGCCAAUGAAUCACAAAAAACACGGACGUUUUACAACCAAAUAGUUUAAUAUCUAAGACAAACGUAAUUCCAGAACAUAAAACAACUCAAGUUUCUGACAAUAAUCUUAAUCCAACACAAAACUGCAACAUAAAUAUUUUCUGGACUAUAUUUAGGCAACAGGAAAGAAAUGCAUAUGAAAAGAGUCUAGAAGCAAUGUUAUGUUACUCUGUAACAUUCAGUACCAUCAAAAAUUGUUUAUAAUUAUUUACUUAACUUCAUCUUCGAUCACUUAUUGGAUCAAACUAGAUUAUAUUCAUUUCAGUAAUAUUCGCAGUAGCAAUUUUGCAUGUUAGGGUAGUGUUCCUUGUAGUUCUUAAUCUUGGCAAUGAGAGCGAAUCUGACUUACAAUGUCAUAGAAGUCAAUCUAAGGUAGUGAUUGUGGUGGUUCUUACAGGAAUUUUUGCACAGAUGGAAAUUUUCUCACAAAGCAUUUAGUAUAGGUAACAAGUAGCAUAAAUUUUCUAUAGCUAGUCCGAUAAUCACUAUUUACAUCCACAUGGAUGAAGGGCUUAAGGACAAAAACACUCAGAAAGCAACCCAACAGCCAAUCAGCACUCUAUGAAAAAAUAAAAUUUGAAAGCAGAUUUUGCAACAAGGGUUUUUCCUUACAGAAUCACCUUCGCAACCCAAUGAAUUCUCACCUUUUUAUUAUAAAUAACUAUCAGAUUAACGGGCAUACUUGAUCUCUAAGGCAACAAAACAAGCAUCGAAUAGAAAGCACCUCAAGUUUCAUACAGCAAUCCAACUAUCCAAGAUUCCAGGUACAAACAUAACUGUGCACAUUUCUUAAACUAUAAAACAGGCUCGAAAUAAUGAUUAACUAUACGUCAGACUUGGAUUAAUAAAAUAAUUAUGUGUGAUGCAGUUAUACUCUAUCCAACUUAUAAUAAAUUCUGCCUGUAAAACAAUAAACAAGGUAAAUGGUAAUCGAGGUUGUCAAAUUGGUUGGCAACUAUAAACAGUUUGCCACAGAGAAAUCAUUGGUUUUGAAAGAUCAAUAACUAGAUGAAAACUUCUAGAUUAACUAUCGAGAAUCUUUCAGAAAGAGUUCGUUAUUAGAUAAAUACAUUUAUAAAUGUUGCACUGAAAUUAUAAAAAGAAAUACAAAAUAUAAUAGUCAUAUAUUGAAGACAAGGUCAGUGGUGGAAGUACAUCUCUGGAAGUGCAACGUGAUUUUGUUAAGCAGCUUUACUUUUGAAAAACAACAGGAAACAAAAUAAGGUGAACUAAAACCUCAAUCUAGGAAGUCCAAAAUGCUUGAAAACUGCUAUAGGUACACAAUGCAAGUGAAAUUGAAAUGAAAAACCAAGCAAAAGACCAGAAAAUCAAGUAUAUCACACUAAAGAAAUGAUGCUUCAAUCCAAAACCUGAAAAUAAGCGUCUUUAUGAAAUUUCAAAGAAACUGGAAAGUAGAAACUAUAUAAAAUCUGGUCUAAACUCUGUUGGUAGCAUCAGAUAAGUUAUACCUUAAUCCUCUCGUAUUCUCUGAUUGCACAGAUUUUCGCAUCCUCUGUGAUCCUAAUGGCACCUUUUAGGUCCUCAAGUUUGCGGACCCUUGACUUAUCACCACCAAAAAUUUUAGAUGAUGCACCUUCGAGCUUUUCAGUUCUUGAAUGCAAAGAAGACAAAUCAGAUAUAAGAGUUUGCACUGUCAAUAAAGCACUAGAUCGAUCAGAGAAUGCACUGUGUACAGCUAACAUCAUGCCCAUAUAUUCGUGUAGUGUAUCCUGAAAAUACAUAAAGAGGAAAGAGAAAAGAGAUAAAUUAGUUCGGAAACAUGAAGUAGCUCGAUUGGAGAAUAUAGAAAGAAAACUCAACCCUUUUAUAGUGAUGCAACUUGCAACAUUAAUUUAUACUCCAAGAUAUCAAUUAAUUUGAUUUUCUGCUACUCUGUUUGUUUGGCUGACAAAACAAGAAAUUACUCUCCGUAUGGAAGAUAGUUAUUAUCUAUUAAAAGUCGAAGAUCCCAAUAAAUAAAAACCGGAAAAUUAAAACAAGAAACUAGUCUUAAAAGGAAACAUAUAAAGUGAGAGGACAAAAACAACAUGUCGUUUGAGAACCCACCAUAAUUUUGGUAGGAACAAAACCUAAUACAAUGACGGCAUGGCAUGAUAGGUAGAUGCAUCUAUACAUACCUCUUCUGGUUGAUCACACCAUACUCUAUUGUGGUAAAAUGAUCCAUACUAGCAAACAAUUAGACAGUUGCUACAUUUAAAUCGGAUACAUAUACAUUAAAUUAUAUACCAUAUAUAUGCACUAUCACAUAGAUAUAGUGUCUCUUUUUAUAUGUUUUUGUGUGUCCCUCCCAAUAAGAGCAUAUAAUUAGCUAUUUUUAGUUAAUCAGUCACAGUCGAUAAAUUUGGGAAGUCCUUUCAAGAUUGAGGAGGUAACUACCAUUUCUCAAUUAGAAUUCAUAAUUAAUAGAGCUAACAUAAUAAUUCCAUGGAAUGUGUUUUCCUACUUAAGGAAAAAGCUACACUUGGACUCAAUAAAAAUAAAGAAAUAAAAAAUAAAAGGCGAGGCCAGUAAUUCCUACGUCUUAUUAUUGCCAACUUAUCAUGACAAGAGUAAUGACCCAAAUGAGAAUGCCACACUUACAAAAUGCUUCACGGUCUGAGCAUUUAAUUCUCGAUAUAAUCUGCUUGCUUUGACAGCUGCCGUAGCAACAUUUUUCAUGUCCGCAGCCCUCGUUCUUUGAGAAUUCAGUGCCGCCUGCUCGUUCUCAAACUUUGUUAACUUGAUAAAAGCUAGACCUAGUUCUCCCAUAGUGUCUCCCAUAUCUUGCUGUGCUUUCACCAGUGAUUCAGCCUAUCAGUUCAGAGUACAAAAAUAAAGAGAAUCGCAAUCAGAAAAACGGCACUCAACCGGUUAAACUUUUAAUUGAAAAUUAAGGGCAACAACAUGGAUUGAAUGUCGAAAAAAACCUGUUUCGAUGCAUUAGUGAGUUGCUGCUCAAGAUCCCACAACUUCUCCUUCUUCUCCAAGAAAUCCUUAUCCUCCUCCUCCACAGAAGGCCUCGAAUUACCCCAAUCAUUGACAACAGAUUGCUUCAAUUCCUUAAAGAACCUCAGCAUAUCCCUUCCCCCUUUAGCAGAGUGCACUACAUCUUGCGGCUCAAUCGCACUGCUCGACUCCCCCAAAAGCUGCUUCGGCAGCCUCACUGCUCCGUCAAGCAUCCUCGAAGCCACGUCAAUGCUAGCUGGCAGCGGCAUUCUGUUAUCCACAGUCAAAAACGCCCUCAAAUCGUCACUUUUCUUAAUCACCGGAUGCCUCGAAAGCCUCCUCAAGUACUUCUCCAAUUCCACUCUCCUCUGCUCCACAAAGUCCUGCUUCUGCAUCACCUGACUCUCGACCACGCUUUUAUCCGGCCGUGGUGGGAUGAAAAGACCUCUGUAACCUUCGCCCAGACGAUCCGAUAGAGUAACCACGUCUUUAAACCGCCUCCUGACGCUGAAAUCGGUGCCGGCGUAAUCGGGGACAUUUGUGCUGGUGGUGAUCAGAUAGGUGACGUAAGUAUUGCCGCCGGGGACAAUCGAAUUGGAAGACUCCACCUCCUUCUGCGGAUUCAAAACGCUGAUCCUCAAAUACUCGGAACUGGAGGACUGAGAUCCGUUCGGCGAAAUCGUGGCUUCAUCGGAGAUAUCUCCGGCGCCGUUUGAUUCCGGGAAUCUGUCCUCGAAGGAGCUGAACAUAACGUCGGCGUAGGAGGGGGAAUCCAGAUGCGGGGUGUGAGUGGGGAAGAGGAGGGGAUCGGAGACGGCGGGAGUGGUGGCGAUGGACGGCGGAGAAAGGAGGGGAUGUUCGGCGGCGGAGGAAGAGAGGGUCGUCAUGGCGCUGCGGUAAUUGGAAUAGGAUUUGGAGGUCGAAACGUCGCCGUUCAGGAUACUAUCGCCGACGCCGUCGCCGUCGAGGGUUAGGGUUUGCAUCUGACCAGUGGUGGAGAGGGGGUGGUGGCAUUCUUCUUCUUCUUCGUCGUCAUCUUCCGGUUUACCCGGUACAUGUACAUAUUGGUGGUGGUUCUCUGAACCCAUCAUCGCUCUGGCAAUUUGGUAAAUUUGGGAUUUGGAUCAAAGACAAAAUACAGUAGAAUUAUUCGAUUUGUAUAAUAUGAUGAGUUAAUUCAACUGUUUUCAGUUCAGCUUCGUCUGCAAAUCCAAAAGAACAAUAUUUUUAUAUAGGCUGCGGCUAUAUGCAAGACUAAUUCCACUUGUGCAAGACCAAAUUAAAAUUUUUAAUGUAUAAAUACUAUAAUACCCUUAUUUAUUAAAAAAAUAAAAAAUUCCAAGUAUGCAAGACCAAAAAUUCAAAAACACAAAAAACCAUAUCACAAGACCAACUAUCAUCUUCUCCAUCUUCCAAAACCCACAAGACCUUUCUCCUUCCUCCUCCAUUAACCCACAAAACCUAGAAACUCAAAAUCAUCAAAACUCAACAAAUCUUACAAAGAUGGCAAGUAUGGAGUCAUAAGACAUCAAAAUAGAAGAUUCUAAGAUGGAAGAACCCAAGAAUGUAUGCAUUUAUGGGUUUUUUUUAGCUAGAAUAUCGAUUAUCCAAAAAAAAUCUCGCGCAAACGAAUUCGACAUGUACAGGUCGAAUUUUACAGGUAAAAAUCGACAUUUAGAUGUCGAUUUUGAGGUAUAAAAUUCGACAUUUAGAUGUCGAUUUUGAGGUAUAAAAUUCGACAUUUGAAUUUGUGCUAUAAAUUCGACAUGUCAAUGUCGAUUUUUACCAAUGAAAUUCGACGCUUAAGUGUCGAUUUGUAGCAUAGUUUUUCGACACCUUGGUGUCGAUUUUUGUUUUUUUCUCAUUAUUUGUAUUUGGUCUUACAUGAGAAAAAAAAAGCCAAUUUAAUUUAUGGGCAUACUUGUCAUUCCAUCUUAAUAAAAUAGAAUCUUUUGGAAUCUUUCUUUAAUUUGGUCUUGCACAAGUGGAAUGAGUAUUGCAUAUAGCCACAGCCUUUUAUAUAUUAUACUUUCAGUUUUCAAAAUUAGUUUUACUGACCUAAAAUUUAAUUUCAAUUUACAUGUUUUGGGCACUACCUCAUUUUUAUCAUGGGGUUUUUGUUCCAUUUUUUUUUCUUUGUUUUGGGUCUAAUUCUAAAUACGAUUCGGUCCCCAAUAGUUUACUGCACUUCUCCAUGUUAAGUUUUGUUUACAAUUAGCUCUCUAAUUAUCGUCAAAUGUUUGAAAUGCUCCUCACUUUAGAUUAGAAUUGCAACACUUAACAAAAAUGCUAUUGCUCGUAAAAUCGUUUCUAAUGCAACAUAUUUUCAAUGCAUAUUUAUUUAUUGGCAACGAAUAUAUGCAAGAUUAAAAUUACUAAGUGCAAGACCUUACUUGAUGCAAGACCAAAAUAUAAAUAAACUUACUGAGAGCAAGACUAAAAAUUACAAAUAUAACCCCAAUAAUCAUUUUGUUACUAUUCAUUCAAAUUAGACAUAAUUACUAUUGCAAGACCAAAAAGAAAAAAAAAAGGAAAAAGAUAAGAAAAAAAUAAAAAUAAAAAUAAAGGAGAAAUUAAAAAGCGAGAGAGAAGGAUGUUGUAGGGGAAGAAGAGAAGAACACAAGACGAGAAGAAUUGUCGCCGCCCAUCCGCUGCCUAAGAAUUGUCGCCGCCGAAAAAUUGCCGCGCGCCCAACCGCGGGUGCUUGAAGAAGAAGAAGAAGAAGAAGAAGAAGAAGAAGAAGAAGAAGAAGAAGAAGAUUCGACCUGUACAUGUUCAUUUUUUGGUGAAAAAUCGACAUUUAAAUGUCGAUUUUUGGGCAAAAAUCUAAAUGUUGAUUUUUUGGCGAAAAAUCACAUGUAGAUGUCGAAUUUAGUCACAAAAUUCGACUUGUAGAUGUCGAUUUUUUUGCUAAAAAAUCAACAUCUAAAUGUUGAAUUUUGUGACAAAAUUCGACAUGUCAGUGUCGAAUUUUGACUGUGCGAAUUUUUUGAAAACUUAAAAGUCGAUCACCUUACUAUAAAAAUACAUUCAUUCAUAGUUUGUUUUCUAUUUUUUCUAUAAAAUUCACCAUAUUGAUGUCUUGUGACUCCAUAAUGCUAUCAUUUGUAUGUUUUAGUAAGAUUUGAUGGUUUUGGCCUUUGGGUGUUGAGGAUUUUUUGAGAAGAUGAAGAAUUUUUUUCUUUGAAGAAUUUGUGUGAAAUAGGUUUGUGAGGAAGAUGAAAUGGGUUUUGCUUGUAUCUUGCACAAAGGAAGUUGUGGAAUUUUAUAAUUAUGGAUUUUGUAUUUUAGUAAGGGUAUAAUAGUCUUUUAGUAAUUCAUUUGGUGAAAAAAUAGAUUUGAUCUUCCCCUAAGUAAUUUUUGCGAUUGCAUAUAGUCGCGAGUCGGGACCUUAUUUAUUUCCCUCAAAAGGUUUUUGAAAUUUUUUUUUUCCACCAAAAAACGUUCUCCAAAAUCGUAUUCGUACAAACAUUUUCCAAAAACGUGCCGUUCUCGGACAACGCCAACUUAAUAUUUGUAUCCGUUUAUUUCGUAAUCACUGUAAGUCACAAUGCUCUGUAUUCCUACGAGAGAAACAUACAACGAGAAACAUAGGAAGACGAAGAAGAAAAAAGAUGAGGAGGAGAUUUUGAGAAACUACUGUUGCAGUUCAGAGUCGUUCUGUACCAUAUUUUAAAGGUUUGAUUUCUUGUUUUUAACAAAUUUCAUAGUUGUUGAAACCCUAACAGUAUGGUAAAAUUUGUUAUUUCGUUGUUGGGGCUUGAUACCAUUUUUUUUCCCUUGGAUCGCACGAUUUGGAGGAAUUGCAGUGAGGUAUUGUGAUUCGACAAUUUAACAUGUUGUUAGAGAUAUGUUUAGUUUAUAGGUUUUAAGUGUUUGUACUGUUUCGACGUAAUGAACGAAUUUAUAUAACAAUGUAUAAUUUUGCAAGUUGUUCUAAUAGUAUGAUUGUUCUUUAGUAUUUGAACUGUGUGCAGAGGAAAAUGAUUUCCUAUUAUGUUACUAUUGUGUUUUUGUUAACUAAAAUCGUAUAUGAACAAAGGCAACAUCGUGUUUUGUUUGUUGCUGCAAAAAUGGGUCCCAAGAAGAAAAACCUAAAAAUGUUCAAAAUUGGUCAUAGUUUUACCAAGGUGCAACAGUUGUCAACUGUUGAAAAGAUAUCCUCCAUAAUCAAACGAGUUCGUAUUUGAGAAUGAUGAAAACAUAGUAGUGAUCCCUUUUUUGCUCGAAGGAGUUUUCGAUAGUGUUGGGAUUGCACCACGAGGGGAAUCAAGUUGACAUAAAUUUUAAGAAUGAAGCUUUGCACACUAUUAGUCGCCUAUGCAGUGAAAACGUCUCAGACUCCAAACGUAACUUACUUUCUAAAAAAAAUUGAGGAUUAUGAAUGAGAUAACGAAAUAUUUCGCCGACUUAAUCGAAAUAUUUCCAAAUUUGAAAUAUUUUUAACCCAAAUACCGAAAGUUUCAAUUUCCAAUUUCCCAUUUUUCCACAAUAUGAAUACAUAAGAUUCAAAAUUUCAAUCGAUUUUAAUUUUUGAAAAGUUUAAUUAUUUAUUUCCCGCGAAAAUGGCCCUUACGAUAUCAAUAUUAUUAUAUAUUUUACAUUACGAGUGGCGAUAAAAGUGGACAUUUCGAAUUCUGACUAAUCAUCCGAUCAUAAAAAUUCCAAUUUCGUAACAAGUUUUUUCAUUCCAAUAUCGACUAAAUAUCGUUGCAAGUAAAUAGUUAUGGUGUGCAGGUGCUAAAGUAACACAUUUUAGUCACUACCUUUCUAGAAGUAGAAAUUAGAAUCUUAAGGCAACAUAAAAAAGAAAAACCAAACCCCAAAAGUGGUACUUAAAUACCGAAAAUACCCCUGACAUGACAUGAAAUCACAGGCCCACAGUGCGCCCGCGGAGAGUACUACACUACUGCUGCUGCUAACGCAAUUUUCCUCAUCAGCUAGGUCAAAGAUUCUCUCCCGCAACACCGUUUCAGAGUUGCUGCUGCGCGCUUCUGUGGCCCGGCCCGUUUCGAUUUCCCGUCGAGGAAAAAAAGAGAAUCUUGAUUUGUAUCGGUUUCGAAGAUCACUGUGUUGUUGUACGGAAUGGCGUCCAAAUUCGGGUUAGCCGGUGGCAUCCCGGAGCGGCGGGUCCGACCCAUUUGGGACGCCGUCGACUCUCGCCAGUUCAAGAACGCUCUCAAGCUCUGCACCGCACUCUUAUCCAAAUACCCGAAUUCUCCUUACGCCCUCGUGAGUACCCUCCAUUGUCGCAUUUUUUUUUUAAUUUUGUGCAAGAAAGAUUCUCUUUGUUGUUCGUUAAUGUUUUUCGGAAUCUUUUGUUGCUGAUUUUGUGCAGGCGCUGAAGGCUUUGACAUUGGAAAGGAUGGGUAGGAAUGAGGAGGCGCUAUCUGUUUGUUUAAAUGCCAAGGAGAUUUUGUGCACUAGUGACCCCAAUGUCUUCGUCGACGAUCUCACCCUCAGCACUUUGCAGAUUGUUUUCCAGCGACUGGAUCACUGUGAGUUUUUCAUUCUUCAUCGAUUCUUCAGUUAAUUAAUGGGGUUCUGUACAUUGAUGUAUUGGUUGUAAAUGGACAGUGGGGAUGGCCACGAGUUGUUACGAGCACUCUUGUGCAAAAUAUCCCAACAAUUUGGAAUUAAUGAUUGGCCUUUUCAAUUGUUACGUGCGAGAGUACUCAUUUGUGAAGCAGCAACAGGUUGGUGCAAUGAAUUCGCUUUGGGAACUUUUGUGCAUUCAUCAUUAUUAAAUCGCUUAUUCUCGUUUAUUACUCUUAUGUUGUGUUAUUUUCUGUUAUUUCUUGUCCUUAUCUUAGAUAGCUAUUAAAAUGUACAAGACUGCUGGUGAAGAAAGGUUCUUGCUCUGGGCAGUUUGCAGCAUCCAGUUGCAGGUUUUUAGCUACUUACUCUCCUAUAUCUCCUCCUCCUUUUAUAAAUAUAUGAUUUACGACUCCAUAGUACUAGAGGAAAAAGUGUCACGCUUAAGGUUUGCUUACAAGGACUGAUUUGAAAUGGUAAUAAGGUCAACAAGUUACGUCAAAAUGUCGUGUUUUUGUCUCAUUCAAUUAUUCUGUGUCUGUUUUCUGCUCUUCUGUUUCAAACCAAUAAAUGCUGUGUCCGAUUGAAUGAUUUUGAGUUUUUAGAAUGACUUGCGUGUAAGCCAACUCCUUUCGUUUUCUAAUAUAAUUUAUGUUUUUAUAUUAAGUGUAGAAUUUUUUUAUAUGUACAAUAAAUAAAAUUUGUGCUAAUAAAAUUAAAGAACUUUCACACAAAUACACUCCAAUUACUGAAGUUUAAAACUACAUAAAGAUUUCUAAUUUUUUAACUUUAUGAAGCUUUUGUAUUUUUUUUUCCUGUAAUUUGAUCUCUGAAUUUGUCAUGAACAUCAUAUAAUUAAUUUUACAUUUUGUUGCAUUUUUUGUAUAGUUAUAAAAUUUCAAUGUUUAUAAUAAAAUACAAUUAUAUAAAGGAAAAGUAGGGGAGAGGGUGCGGCAAAAAAGGGCCGCAAUUCGUGGGCAUUCUGGCCGCAAGUUAUGGGCAUUUGCAGCCCGAAAUGGCACUUGGGGGGGGGGGGGGGGUGCGAGUAGUAGUUAUUUGUUGCAUACGGAACAUGCGAAAAGCAUCACCUGGUAAAGAAAUGUUGGCAAAUAACUUCACAUUAUUAAGAAUUUUAAUUUAUACCACUACUGUUCUUUUUGGAAGUAGUAUGUGAAACUAACAUUAAAUUGAUGUAUGUAACAAGCGGUUUCUUAUGCUAUAAUUUAUGGAGCACUUUUUACUAUGCGGUAAAAACUUAUUUCUGGACUAAUUUCAAUGGUAGAAGAAGUCACAUAAGAUUANNNNNNNNNNNNNNNNNNNNNNNNNNNNNNNNNNNNNNNNNNNNNNNNNNNNNNNNNNNNNNNNNNNNNNNNNNNNNNNNNNNNNNNNNNNNNNNNNNNNUGAUUUUGUUUUUCCUCUUUGUUCUCUAAUUUACAACACGCACCCCCCCCCCCCCCCCCGAUUGGACUGGACUGGUUCAUCUUUUCAGGCUAUAUAUAUAAAUUGCACAAAAUGAUGAACUUAUUGUGCUUAUAGCUAUGGAGAGCAACUGGUUACUAAUUAUUACUCGUAUGAGGGACUUCGUUUCAUAGCAAUUUUAUUUUAAUCUAGAUUUGUAUAUUUAUGAUAGAUUUGAAGCAGAAAUAGUCUGCGGAUUUUGAGUCCAAGUAUUAUCGCGUAUUGAUUCAACUGGAACAAAAUCGCUGACAUGCUUUCUAACUGUUCAGUAUUUCCUCACAUUUUAACUUUUGAAAGUAUCUGUUUGUAUUUGUUCAAAACUGUUAUUCAAAUAUUUAAAGACUAUUGAAAUAAUAUUUUUGGCCUUUCAUAUGUGUACAUGAGUAUGUAGCAUGCACAAAGUUGGUGGGACAAGCCCAUACAAAUUGACUCAUAAGUAUGCAGUUAUAUUUAGCACUGAUACCAAUUUCCUGAAUAUGAUGAUCAUGUAAAUUUAGACUUUGCUGAUCCUUGCCAAUGAUAUAAUCUGUUCAUAACUAUUUACACUUUGCUGAUAAUUACAUUUUUUAUGGUGUUUGAUCUGGUUGAAGGUUUGUUGUGGCAAUGGGGGGGAUAAGCUUUUCCAGUUGGCAGAAGGUUUGCUCAAGAAACAUAUAACUUCUCACGGUUUGCAUGAGCCAGAAGGUGCUUCUUCUUCUUCUUCCUCUUCCGACUGUUUUCAGUAGGUACUUUGAAGGAAUGUAGUUCUGGAUUUUGGGGGAUUGUUUUACCUUCUGAAGCCACUAUUAUUUGAUGCAGCGCUUAGUGUUUAUAUAUCUCUAUUGGAGCAACAAGGCAAGUAUGGUGAUGCAUUGGAGAUUCUUUCUGGAAGUUUAGGAUCUCUUAUGUUGAUUGAAGUGGACAAACUACGGCUACAGGUACUCCUUAGAAUAUUACUCUCUAGCAAUGUAUCUCAAUAACAGCCUUCAAUAUGGUUUGUUUUCACCCCAUACAAGUCCACUACGGUUGCUCUUCAAUCUAUUUUGCAAUUAAGAGCACAAACCGUAUAUUGAGUAGUUUCUCAUGUGAACUUAAGAUCAUUGGUCUGAUAGGUGGAGUGUUGCAUGCGAGCACAAACUGUAUAUUGCGUCAAUUGUCAUAUAUUGGUAGUUUGGUCCAACUUUGUUACAAUCUAGAAGAAAGAGAUUUUAGUUUCUGGCUUUCACCCAAAUUCUUCCAAUUUUAAAAACACAAUUUGUAGUUUGACACAUCCUCAGAAUUUUUGUGAAUGAUUCACUACCCUUUUUAGGUAUGCCCUUCCCUUUUUCAUAACUCUAUUUAUACAGACCCACCAAGGAUACUCUCUGCGCAGAUGUGUAAAUUCCAUUUUAAAUGGUAAAUUAUUCCAAGAUAUGUAUGGGGAAGUUUUUAGAAUGUUAUCGACAAAAAUGAACUUUGGAGUUCUGCCAUCUUUAAUAUUUCUUUAGAUGGUUUAAAUAUUCUUCAUGAAUAUUAUUGUUUGCGUAAUUCAAUUUAGUUCUCCAUGGUAGUUUCUGUUCGUCCUUAUUUAAGUUUGUUCCUGUAACUGUAAGUUGACAGGGAAGGCUUCUUGCUAGGGCAGGAGACUAUGCUGCUGCAGCUGACAUAUUUCAGAAAGUUUUAGAAUUAUGGUAUGCCUUUCAAACUUCUAUAAAAAAUAAUAUAAAAGCAACCAAGUCUUGGGAUUUUAUCGAUAAAAUAAAUAAUUGGUUUAUCUUUAUGUUGUUUAGUAAAGAUGAAUGUUGCUGUGGACAUAUGAACCUUUUUGAUAUUCUGGAAUUUUGUAUCAUUUUAAAUUUUAAUCUAACUCUAGUAGACUAUUGAAUCUUAGUAACAGAUUUGUUAAAUCCAUCAUUUUCUAGUUAUCUAAGUGUAAUAGGUUUUGAGAAGAUUUUAGGUAUCUUUGCAUCUGCAGUAUGAAAAGUCACAACUAUUAUUGUUGAAGCCUCUUCAUAUGAAGAAUGUAAAAUAAUAUGAUAACUGCUGUAGGUUUAUCUGCUAUCUCAAUGCUUAAUUUCAUAGUUUCUAUCAUUUUUACUGAUUUGCUCGACACAUAUUUGACAAUUUUUCUUUUUCUUUCUCUGGAUUGUAGUCCCGACGACUGGGAAAGUUUACUGCAAUACCUUGGCUGUCUGCUGGAGGAUGAUAGUAUCUUGAUCAAAGAGACUGAUCCCGUCCACACACUAAAAUCUAUUCAGUCCAAGAAUUUGCAUAUAUCAGAUGAACUUGUAACUUCUUUAGUUCCCUUCAACUUACUUUACGAAUAAACAUUCUACAGCAUUUGACUUGUUCAACUUCUUUGUGCAGUUUGAUUCACGUAUGUCAAGUGCAGUGAGAUUUGUACAGAAAUUAAUGGAGACCAAUAGUAAUUCUGAAAGAUGUCCAUACUUGGCACAUCUUGAAAUUGACAGACGAAAGCUUCUGUUUGGGAAAGGUGAUGCUGACAAAGUGGUUGAGGAUCUCAUUCAAUAUUUUAUCAGGUAUAUCAUACCCUGAUAAGUCUACCUUUAGCAUUUGGUUCCUUUGUCUUUCAUUUUAUAUUCUCGGAUCACGUCUUUUUUUUUUUUUUUUUUUUUUCUUGUUUUCAUCUCAAUCUUGAUGUAAAGAUCAUGAACACAUGGCGUCGAUCUGUGUUUUACUCGUGCUGACGGUUGGGUUAUCAGCCUUUAAUUUUUGAAAAAGGGUCGGUGUAGUGAUUUUUAUCAAAUCAGUCUAUUCAUGAAUCAUGACAUGAAAAAUGAGUUCAUUUUUACAGCACCUACAAAAAUCUGUAAACGUAUAGCAUAAAUGGCAAAGAGCUGUAGAUGUCUUUCAUUGCCAGACUACCAGUAUAUUGAAUUUUGAUUGCACACAUGAUCAUUACUUGACACUUCUGCAUUUUUUCUUUAUGAUCAUACAAUCGAACGCUUGUUUCUCUGGGUGCAGGUUUGGUCACUUGUCUUGUUUCACUUCAGACGUCGAAAUGGUUCUUGAAGUUCUUGAUACUAAUAAGAAGAGCGAGUUUUUGAAGAAACUAGUGAAGGAAAAUGAAGCUAGUAGCACGGAUGUGCCAACUAAAGAACUUGGGAAGUCCAUAACUGUAUUCAAAGUCCAGAACUUAAUUGGUGAUGUUUUCGCUCUACCGGUGGCUGGUAUGCAUUCAGUCAUUUCAUUUUAUGACUUGAUCUGGUUCACACUUCUGUUAAUAUAAAUCUUGUUGCCCUUUUACCAUUUCAUCGCAAUUGCAUUUGUUUCUUCUAGCAGAGAUUGCCUCCUUUCACCUCCAUUUUAUUGGAGCAUUUUUUUUAUAAAUCUUAAUGAUUUAUGGACUAUAAAAUAUGGAUCGUUUUUGUCUUUCUUGCUUCACUAAGUUUUUUCACAAUCCAUGAUGUCGUUGCUGUUUUUUUUAUACUUUAUGUAACACUCGUUUACAUCAUAUGUUGUACUUACUUUUUGUGGAUCUAAAUNNNNNNNNNNNNNNNNNNNNNNNNNNNNNNNNNNNNNNNNNNNNNNNNNNNNNNNNNNNNNNNNNNNNNNNNNNNNNNNNNNNNNNNNNNNNNNNNNNNNGGUGCAGGUACUGGUUUAUGUUCACAAACUUGUCUUCAUAAUCUCAUUUAUCUGCUCCAGUUGCUUUGUAUGGCACAAGUGGUACAGAAGACUUGUUUAUGUUUUUCUUAUCCAAAACUUGAUAAAGAACAGUGAACUUUUUAUGUAAUGCAUCUUCUCAAUUGUGAUACUAUGUAUUUGGUUUAGAGCUUUGCUCAGACAGUUUGAACCUGGAUCCCCUUUUAUUGCACUUGCUGUAUUUUCUCUCACAAGACCUAUCACAGCAGAUAUGAAGCUAAUAUUCUGACUUCCUAUCAUAUGAUUCUCUGUCCUUGCUAAUGGUGAUAUUGCAGACAUAUUACAGCAUGAAACACUUCAAACAAAUCCCUAUAUACUGGUCCUUUGAUAGCAAGUUUCAGCAGGAACAUAAAUAGCUAGAGCGUAUUCUUGUCUCCUAUUUUGUCCUCCAUUUACACAGUUUAACUGAUCGUAUUGCUAAUGGAUUUUGAGUUACUCCGGUGCAAGCUUUUAUUAUGUGGAUUAUAUGUCUUAUGUUCUGCUCUGAAAGUCUUUCAGUUUCUUGUUUUGCUUUGAAAUCCGAGAUAGAAUAUGGAUGUAGGUAUAUGUUACUCUUGGGUGGGUUUCAUUUGAGAAAUCAUGCUCUAAGUUGAAUUUCAUCUUGUUUUUGGGAUUUUUGAAACCUAAUGCUAUAUUUUCCUGGAUUUGUUUUUUCGUGCUGAAGUUAUUCUCGAUAAUGUCCCCUAAUUUGUUUCUCUCACCAAUCAUUUGGAAAAUUUUGCCCCCACUAUCACUUUAUCAUGCCGAUUCUCCUAUUUGAAUACCCCUACCUAUAUAAAUCAUGAUAUAAAAUGUAAUGUGGAGGAACCACUGUCUCUCUUCAAGUCUAAAUUUUAUUUUGACAAUUGACUUUUUAACUUCUCUAUUAAGGUUUUAUGUUUAGUUAAUUGUAUGUGCUCACCUUAGUUCACGAAGAAUUAUGUUGUUUCAAUCAAUAAUAUUUUUGACUUUGUGGCAGCUUUUCUGGCGUACAAGGGAUCUUGGCUAUUUGUUGGAGUCGAUUAUGAUUCUGGAAUUUGGUUUGACUAUCCGAAGGUUUGGCAUUUAACUUCGCUGAUUAUUUGCUGUCAGUGCUUCAUGCUAUUCCUUUAGACUGUUUGCAUGAAUGAUUGGCUGUUUGCAUAUUAAGUCAAUAGACUCCUGAUGCCUUAAGAACGUAGACUUUAUAUCUUGUUGGUUGUCACAUUGCUAUAUGCCCUUGGAAUAAUGCUGGAGAUCUCCUUGAAGUUUGCAUAGAGACCUUACGGAUUUUCUUUUAUGCCCUGAAUUCUUGUACGUCCAUAGUACUAGGAAGAAAAAUUGUUGAAACAGUAUACUUGCAUGGGUUGCAACAGUUUGGGUUAGUCUGAAUGCCAAUGGUGUCGGUCAUGGUUGUAUUUAUUUUGGACCUUUGUCUUGUAUUGAAUGUUAGCAAAGCAUGCAGAACGCACUAUACUAUAAAAUGUGUUGUAUCUCUCUUGCAUUGAUGUUUUUCUGAGAUGAAUGUCAUAGCUUUAUUCCGAGAAUAUGUGUACAAACAAAUUGCUGCUACAUCUAAAUCUCACAGUUUCUUAUUUUCAUUGUCUUUUGCAGAUAUGUGUGGCAAUAUAAGAUUUUGUUGGUGCAUCUUUAUACUUACUGGAAUUCCCUUCCAUUAGCUUAUGAACGGUAACCAAUUCUUCAGCUUUACCAAAUUCUGCUACUAUGUGGCUUGGAUGGUUGACUAGAGGGUCCGAUUUGAAAUCUGUAUUGAGUUCUCUGUUUUACUGCACCCUGGUUUUGAGUUUCUUUCUUCUAUGUAGUUAUAAAUCCUUGGAUGUGAAGAAUAUCUUGCUGGAGACAGUAUCUCACCACAUUUUACCACAAAUGUUAGUAUCUCCUCUGUGGGCAGAUUUAAAUGAUCUAUUGAAGGAUUAUUUAAAAUUUAUGGAUGAUCACUUUCGGGAAUCAGCAGAUCUUACAUUCCUUGCGUAUCGACAUAGGAACUACUCAAAAGUAAGUUGGAUGCUUUUAAAAGUGCUUUAUUAUAUUUAAACUUUUAAUAUUCUUGAGUGACUUGUCACCGUUCUCUUGGAUCUGAAAGUAUCCUCAAGCCGUGUUCAGCUAGCCCAUGUAUAGAAUGGGUAAUUUUUAUUUUAGAAAAGAAGCUUUGGACCUUGGGAACUUAGUAUCCAUUUAUCUGUUUCCUUUCAAUUUUUGGAUGAAAAUCAUUGUUAAAUAGUUAAGAUUGGUAUGUGCAUCUUCUUUUAUCUCGAUAUUUUAGAUGCAAACUCAAAAGAUCCCAAUUCAUUUUCUGAAAAUCUAACUCCUGUUAUACUUGCUUAACAUCUCGGGUGGGGAUAACUGGCAUUGAGUGGAGUUACUGCAUCGAAAUUUUGUUAAAAGAUAUUUGAUGAAAGUGUCUGUUAGAGCACCAAAGUGUGGUACAUGCGGCAUUUUGUUAACGUGAUUUAGUUUUUUGGAACACACUCUUGAAAUUACAUGUAUUGCUUAAAUUAUAGUUUUGUAGAUGCUCUUUGUAAAUCUCCCAACCCCAUGUCCCAACCCCAUGUCAUGUUUUCGUAGAGGCUGAUGUUCUGUUAUAAAAUCAAGAAAGGAUAAUUGCUAGAGCACAAAACAGUUACACAUAAACAUCUGAUAAUGGCAAAUGCUAGUUGACAUUUAGGGGUUCAAUAUGUGAGUAAAAUUGUCCCAAUGCUUCUUUCUCAUGAAAGAAAUAAACAAGUCUCUUGUCACCAAAUAGCACUUUGUUUGCUAUAAUAAAACUUGUAGUCUUACAUUUUUCCUUGUCUAGGACAUAAGCUGAUUAUAGUCCUUUGUAGUUUAAUGAUUGAACUUGAUUUGUGUUUUUAUUUUUAUUUUUUCAUAGGAGUUUAAGCAACUUUAUUUGAAUGUGCUAUGUGACAACUUACAAAUCCUCUUCUUUUUUGAUGUUAUAGGUUAUUGAAUUUGUGCAAUUCAAGGAAAGAUUGCAGUGUUCUGGUCAGUAUAUAAUGGCAAAGAUUGAAUCACCCAUUUUACAACUAAAACAGAACUCAAAUAAUAUUACCGAAGAGGAGGUAAAUAUGUUCUGCCCCUGUGUUUUACCACUUGUUAUCUGUUUUACCACUUGUUAUCUACAAGAUUAUCAAACUUAUAUCUUAGCUCCAAAUUUUGGGAAGAACCGAUGUUUCCAGAUUUGAUAUGUACGGUUUAGCAUUUUUCAUUUAUCUUGAUUUAGUGAAAAAAGUUUUGAUGAUGCUAGAGAUAGAUCACCUUAGAUAGUUGAAGUAGGAUGAGCUGGAAGAGCAGAGUGGAUCACUGGCUCACGAGCUUGAUGACCUUGAGAUACCUGCGAUUAUAGAACACGGGAACUAGGCCGGGGGUUGAUCCGGCGGAAACCCCUCCGACGCUCAAGUCAGACGUGCGGAUGGUAGAAAUAGUCCAGAGAAUACAUGUCUUAUUGCUCAGAUAAUAGGACGUACCUUAAGGAAUGAGUUCAAACCUUUAUUUAUAGCUUAGUUGAGAUUGUCGGGCCCAAAUCUUACUUGAAGGUGAUUUGGGCCUCGGUGAUAGUGGUCUUAAAUAUUGGGUUCGUGACCCAUUAGGUAAAGAAAUUGUAGGCCCAAUGGGUUGGCCCAAUUAGGCAUAUCAAGUUUCUAUGUCACUAAUUAAUACUAAUCUAAAAUCUAAUACAAUAGAAAAUGCCAAAAUAAAAAAGAACUCUCUUUUCUGUAUGCGCUUCAGUUGGCAUUGUGCGCUUCAGUCUAUCAGAAAAGUACAAAGAGCUUUCGAGAAAACCUGUUUACUGAACUUUAACUUUUACCCAAAUGAGAAUAUUUCUGAACAAAAUUCUUUCUCAGAGCAUCCUGGAAAAUUUGAGAUGUGGAACUCACUUCAUGGAGCUAUCAAAUGAGAUCAGAAGCAAAUCAUUGACCUUUAAUGAGGACCUGAAAUUGCGACCUUGGUGGACGCCAACUUCUGAUAAAAAUUAUCUCUUGGGUUAGUAUUCUCCCUUCUAAUUUCAUAGUUGUAAAAACUUAGUUGCAAAAAACAGAUGCCCGUUGCUUUAUCCAGGGAUUUCUACACCAAUAAUCUUUCUUAAUGCAAUUUCUCCAAUGGCGUUUAUUUGUCCGUGUUACCCAAUCUUGUCAAAAAGCUAUCUUAAUACUUGCUCUAUGGCGAUAACAUCUAUUGAUAAAUGUUUCAUGUUUCCAGGACCCUUUGAAGGAGUGUCAUAUUGUCCUAGAGAAAACAUGGUAUGAAUAUUUUCCUUUCAACUUAUUAUUUUGUUGAUGACAUGUUUUUUCCUGAUAUAAUGGAAUUUUCAACGAAACUUUGUUGAUUAUCUUUUAUUGUGUCCAUGCGUAACUUAUAUCACUAAAACUGACCGCCUUUAAUUUCAUAUAAAUUCUGUAAUUUUCUGAAGUUGUAAAGGAUUAGAUUUGCUUUACCUUUGUGUGGAUCAGCAACUCAUGCUUUUGUUAGGCCACAAAUAAUUCUUAUUACUAGUAUUAGCAUAUGCGAUGGUAGCCUUGUCUUCAAAUUAUACAUACCUGAGAUAUUACCAAAAUCUAGUGCUUGUGGAGCUCUGUUGGAUUUUUGUUUUGGGUUCAUAGACACGAUUUAAAUCUUCUUGUAUCUUAUUCCAUCUUUCUUUAGUACCUGCCAUUUCGUCGGGUUACCUUCUUUCAGUGGUCGUCUGUGAUACUGAUCCAGCAAAUAAAACAGACUGAAACUUUUUUUCACUAUUUUUUGAAAUCUGAAUCUUUUCUUAUUCAAAUCGUUAAAAGAAUUUGGCUCGUAACCAAGGUAAUCUGACAUCUAAGCUUCUGAUAACAUUUGCUUUGUUUAUUCCGCUGCUGUUUUUUUCUGCUAUAUUGUUUUGCAAAAGACAUUGAUUUGUGUACCUGACAUCUUUUCUUAGUCCUCGUCAUUGACAGAAACUCCAAAAUUGAUAGUAUCUUGAGUUGAUUAAAUAAUGUGGUUCUAUUUCCAAACUCCAAAAUUUGAUAUACACCACUCUCUUGCAGCAUAAUCAGAUGAAGCAAACAGAAUCAAAUGUUCUGAAAACCGUUGAGAAAAGAUCUCUUCUACCAAGGAUGAUCUAUUUGUCAAUGUAUUCUGCUUCAACCUCGGUGAAGGGAAGUAUUGAAGCCAAUGGGUCGGUAGUUGAUCCGAAAUUCUCAUCGGAGCUAAAAAUGUUACUUGAGCGCUAUGCUAAGUUCCUGGAAUUUCCCUUCCAAGAUGCGAUAGAACUUGUCCUUGGGGUUUCAAGUGGCCAGAAGCCCUUUGAGGUAUGCUCUUUUUCAUUUUACAGUUAUCUCUUAUUACUUACUAUGAUCGAAGUCGACAAAUUGUGUCUAGUUGUACUAUAUGCUAGGAAAUUCACUAAUGAUCAAGUAAAUUUACACUUGCGCAGGUACCAAAUUCGGAUAUCAUUGACUGGAUGAACUUUGCCGUGUUUUUGAAUGCUUGGAAUCUAUCUUCUCACGAGAUUAGUUUUCCCGAUGGAAAAGAUUCUCCCUCUACUACAUGGAAUCUUGUAAAUACUCUGCUGAGAAAGUAUGUCUUCGACAAGAUCGAAUCUGCGGGGCCCAUCAUUUCUUCUCCAGGUGGCGAUCUUCCAUUGCUGGUGCAGCUGGUAACAGAACCCUUAGCUUGGCAUGCCCUAAUCAUCAACUCUUGCAUCCGCUCGUUACACCCUUCUGGGAAGAAGAAGAAGAAAGGUGGGCCCGUGGACCAAUCAAAUUCCCAGCUGUCAAACGAGCUACUAAAUUCAAUACAGUCUCUUUGUGAUACAAUUGAGGUGGUCUCGAAAUGGUUAAAGGAACAGCUUAAAAAACCCAGCGAUGAAAAAUUUGAAUACAUAUUUUCCGCGGUUGAGAAAAACGGGCCGGGCAAAGUGUUCAAGACUUUGGAGACUUGUGUCGAACAGAUGAAGGGCGUCGAACUUGGUGAUAGAAUUCUCGAGUCGCUACAGUCGUGGGCUCCUGCUGAUGUUGUGAGGAAUAUUAGCGCGGGGCAAGACGGUUUGCUAUCCGAGUUUCUCAAAAUUUGUGAACUCAAAAUUAAAUCUUUGCAGGCGCUUAGACUUCAACUGUAGGUCAAGUGAGUUGAAGAGUCGGUUUCAAGUGAGAACUUAAUUAUUUUUUCCUGUUAUGAUGCACAAUUUUGUUAGUUCCGUGUUUUUUUUUUCCUUUUCUUUUCCAUUUAGGUUUAUUUCGAUUCAUCGGAAGAUGCAUGGGAAAUUGGAGUGUUUUGAGAGAGUUUUUUUCCGGUGUACCAUUGAUUUUCUCUAUUUAUAUGUUGUAUAUUAGAAUAAAAAAAUGUUCUUUGAUUAACAAUUCUGAAAUGUGUUUUGCAUAUUUUUCACCUAAAAGUUUAUAGCUUCCAUUAAUUAAUCUUGAGAAAGAAUUUGUUUUAGUUGGUUGGUUGCCUAGUUUAUGCAAUUAUAAUCAGUUUAUUAGUUAUGAUAGAGCAGUUGGAAUCACCAGACCCUUCCAUGUGAGAACUCUCUCCCGGAGCUGAAGAACUAACCACUCCCUCUAUUAGAAAGUCGAAUUAGCAACUUUUAGUCGAGUUUUCAAGUGGAUGAGAUCGGUCGAGUGGUCUCGGUUGUAGAUGGUAUUGCACGUAUUUAUCGAACCUCGUAAUUUCUAUUUUACUGUUACUACAUUGCAUAUAAAUUGGAGCUCGUGGACUGAUUGUAUAAAUAAGGGGCUAAUACAGAUAAACUCAUCAUGUGCUACUUAUUCAUAAAGAGGAUUGACCAAUAUUUUUGUUUGCAAAAAAAUCUAAAUAAAGUCCAGAGGUGUGUAAAAGAUAAAAAUAAACACUCAUAUUUUAAUUUGCUCCAAUUUCAUCAUUUUACUCAAUUUAACCUCAAUUCGAUUCUAAAUUUCACAAAUUAUUCAGUUUUGACUCUCAAAUUUUGACUCCAAUUUUAACCGUCACCGUCGGUCAGCCGCUGUCGACCGCUGUUGACUUUUUUUUUUCCCGAACAUUUUUUGGCCACGUAAAAAACGGUAAUAUUACUGUGGUUGGCAAUAUAUUAACUACUAUAUUACUGUUUAACAAAGUCAUAUUGUUAUAUUACCAUCUAGCACAACAAUAUUAACACAACGAAAUCGCUAUGUUACAUAAUAAAUUAUUGUGUAAUGCAAUAAUAUUAUUAUGUUGCCCAGUCGACAAACGCAAACACAGUAAAAAGUAAAAAAAAAAUAAUAUUGUUGUGGUUGACAGUAAUAUUACUGUAAUGACAGUAAUACUAUAUUGUGUUUACAGUAACAUUAGUGUCAACCACAUUAAUAUUACAAUAGUAGACAUAAUAUUAUUACGUUGACGGGUCAACUAAUCAACAAAAUAAAAAAGCCAAAAAAUAAAUAAAUAAAAUUGAUGUGGUUGGCAGUAAUAUUAAUGUGUUUAUAAUAAUUUUACUGUCGACCACAGUAAUAUUACAAUAAUAGACACCAAUAAUAUUAUUAUGUUGACCGGUCAACAAAUAAAAAAAAAAGGAAAAAAAAAUAAUAUUAAUGUAGUUGACAUUAAUAUUAUUGUGUUUACAGUAAUUUUACCGUCAACGACAGUAACAUUACUGUCACCGGUUAACGGCGGACGGGAAAAAGAACAGAAAAAGUUAAAAAAAGAAAAGUUUGAAAAAGAAAAAGUCAAAAUUGAAUUUUUUUGUCAAAACUGAUGAAAUUAAAGUUAAAUUGAUGAUACAAUUAGGAAUUUGAUUUAAAGUGUUGAGGGUAAUUUUGUCAUAUACAUUAAGUUUGACUUUAUUUAUAAGACAUAUUAAAGGGAUUAGUUUAUUGACAAAAAAAAUAAUAACACCUAAAUCUAGAAUAAUAAAGAUGGUUGAUCAAUGACCCCCUCACAACAAUCUAAAUAAAUGGCAAUUUGCUAUAUGUCCUCUUAUAAGAAACUUUAUGUGUAUAAAUCCAACUAAUAACUCUUAAUUUUAAAUAAAUAUAUUGUAAUUAUUAUGUCAAAAAUACCCCUAAAAAAUAUGGAAAUAAAAAUCUCCAAAAUAAUAGACUAUUUUGUAUAAUCUUUAAUCCCCAAAUAGUGUAUUUCUCAUUCUCAAAUCUUUAAUUUCUUUUAGAAAAACAAAAGCGGUCUAGACAAAAAAUAUAUCGUCACUGCCUUGCAGCCCUUGCCAUAGAUAAAAAUCGUUUGCAGUUUGCAAUUUUGAAUCUCUGUUUGCAACUGUUUCUUCCCUGCCCUGUCAUAGUUAGGAAUCAUUCGCAGUUUGCAGUUUUGAAUCUCCGUUCGCAAUUGCUUCGUCCCUAUUUUGCCAUAGUUAAAAAUCAUUCACAGUUUACAGUUUUGAAUUUUUGUUUGAAAUUGCUUUGUUCAUGCUUUGCCAUAGCUAAGAAUCAUUCGCAGUUUACAGUUUUAUAAUCUCUGUUUGCAAUUGCUUCGUCCCUACCUUGGCAUAGCUAAGAAUCGAAUGGCAAGAAUUGUUCGCAGCUUGUGGUUUUGAAAUCUCCAUUUGCAGUUUUGAAAUCUCCAUAGAUAAUAAUCGUUCGCUUCAAGCCUAAGAAUUGGUUGCAGUUCAAAUCUCUUCGUCUGUUUUUCAUUAGUAUUUGUUGGUUUGAUGGUUUGAAUAGAGAGAGAGAGAGAGAGAGAGAGAGAGAGAGAGAGAGAGAGAGAGAGAGAGAGAGAGAGAGAGAGAGAGAGAGAGAGAGAUUUGUUUCUCACUUACGUAAAUAACUAAUUCCAUAAAAAAUAAAGAUUAAUAGUUUUAAGGGUACUUAUGCCUAAUAGCUUUUAAUUCUAUUUAAUUUAUAUUAUUUUUUUGGGUCAAACGAUCUACACCUAUAUUCAUCUAAUCAUUAUGAUCUUCACCCCAUAUAACUUCAAGAAAUAGGACCUCAAGCCAAUUUCUCUAUAAAUAAAUGAGUCAAGCUGCUAACCCCAUGAAGAAAUACGUAUACGCAACGUAGAUUUUGCGCACGAUAAUUGUGUAACUUAAUAUGUUGCACUUCUAGGAAACAACACAUAUAAACUUUAAAUAGAAUAAUUGGGCAAAUUAUUGCCACUUCCUGAGGUAUGUUAAAUUACAAAAAAAAAACUCUUCAUGUUUGAGUAAUUACAACCACCCCUUCAACUAUGUAUUGUCUUACACGUUUAUCAUUACGGUGUCAAAUUUACCUAUUGAAUGAGGGAUCAGUAAGACAAUACAUAGUUGUGGGAUUGCUUGUAAUUAUACAAACAGAUGGAUUUUUUUUUUGUGAUUUAGGCUUAGGAUAAUUCAGGAGAUGGCCGUAAUUUACCCUAGAAUAACUUAUUAAUUGAAUUUCAAAAGUUAAUGAAUUAUUACCAAAAAACAAAAAGGAAGAAAUAUUAGUUAACAUCAAAGAGUUUUAUGUAGUAGCUUAGCUUCAAUAUUUAAUGCAAAAUUCCUCUUUAACUAUUUCACAAAACAGAACCAACCAGUGGGUGCACCAAAUCCUCUAUGGUUUUGGUGCACUUUGUUCACCCAAAAAAGUGUAAAGAUUCCUAACUUAGUGCGUGUCUGUGUGUUUUCUGAACCCUUAAAUCCAACCCAAUAUAAAUGCAAGCCCCCAAUCACUUCUCAUCCAACACAAAAUAGUACACACAUACACAAUGGCUCUUUUAAAUGUUAUUACCUCCAUGCAACAAUGCAAUAUUCACUGUUUUGCCAUUUUUGUUGCAAUGAUUCUCUCUCUCUCUUUUGCUUCUGCUGAGACUCAUUACCAUCAAUUUGUUGUAUGUCUCUCUCCAAAAUCAUAUGAUCACACACACACACACACACACACACACACACACACACACACACACACAUAUAUAUAUAUAUUCAUGUGAUCUUAUCCAUUUUGAUCAUUAAUGUUUUUUUUGUGUGUGUCUGAAAUGUAAUUAAAUCAGGUUGAGGCAGCACCAGUGAAGAGGCUGUGCAAAACCCGCAACAUAAUCACGGUCAACGGGCAGUUUCCGGGUCCCACUUUGGAGGCGCGCGACGGCGACUCUUUCGUUAUCAACGUCGUUAACGCCGCACGCUACAACGUCACUCUCCACUGGUAACUUUUUCCUUCAAUCCAAAUUUUAAAAAAAAAAUCUAAACUAUUUGUCAUUUUUCCGCACAUUUUUUCAUCGAUUCGAAAUAUCCGACAGGCACGGUAUUCGUCAGAUGAGAACACCGUGGGCCGAUGGACCGGAGUACGUGACUCAGUGUCCGAUUCAACCAGGAGCGAGUUACACAUACAGGUUCAAGAUUGAGAAUCAAGAAGGUACCCUUUGGUGGCAUGCUCAUAGCAAAUGGCUUAGAGCUACAGUUUACGGAGCACUCGUCAUCUACCCUAAAUUGGGUGUUCCGUACCCGUUUCCGAUGCCCGAAAGAGAGAUACCUAUACUCCUCGGUAACCGAAUUUAAAAAAAAAUAAAAUAAAAGAAAACCAACUACCAUUUUUUCAACAUAUAUAUUAUACUCUCCAUUAAAACUGAUUAAUCUUUUUCCUUCAAACAGGGGAAUGGUGGGAUAGAGAUAUCAUUAGCGUGUUACGACAGUCGAAAUUUACGGGCGCUGCUCCAAAUGUAUCCGAUGCAUACACCAUCAAUGGCCAACCUGGAGAUCUCUACAGAUGCUCAAAGAAAGGUAGUUUGUUUUAGGCCUCGUUUGGUUUCUAAGUUAACAUUAGUCAAGAUAAGUAAUCUUACGAAAUCCCGGCCAAUUGUAUUAUUGGAUCCGGGGAGGUCCAAUAGAUAAUCUUCCCAAUUAGCUUUAUUCUUUUCAUAUUUGCAGCCCAACCCGCAAAAUUAUUAGAUCAACCAAGCAUCAAUAAAAUUCAAUUAUUUAAUUAAUCAUGACUUAUCUCAUCAGCCAAACGAGUCCUUAGCAUGUGUAAAUAAAUACAUACAUUAGUCAUCCUUUGUUUGAACAUUAGUAAAAUGAUAUAAAACUCUUUUUUUUUGGUGGCUUAGAAACAACAAAAUUCAACGUAAGAUCGGGGGAGACGGUUCUUCUUCGGAUCAUCAACGCCGCACUCGAUCAAGAACUCUUCUUCACAGUUGCCAACCACAUGCUAACCGUGGUUGGGAACGACGCCGCUUACAACAAGCCGUUCCAAACCAUGGUUAUCAUGCUCGGGCCCGGACAAACCACCAACGUCCUUCUCACGGCCAACCAACCCGCGGGCCGUUAUUACAUAGCCGCACGCGCCUACGCCACCGCUCAGAACGCACCGUUCGACAACACAACCGCCACCGCAAUCCUCGAGUACAACAACUUUCUCUCACAAAGACCCUUAAUGGCCACACUCCCUCGGUUCAACGACACCGCUACGGCAACCGCAUACACAAGCCAAGUAAGGAGCCUAUCUUCAGGUAAAGUUUUCACCCGAAUCGACGAGAACUUAUUCUUCACCGUCGGAUUAGGCCUCGUGAACUGCCAACCCGGGCCUAGAUGCCAAGGCCCGAACAACACGCGGUUCGCAGCCAGCAUGAACAACGUGUCAUUUGUUUUCCCAAGAAGGACAUCACUACUACAAGCCUACUACCAAAACAUAGGUGGGGUCUACACGACGGACUUCCCGCGGGUCCCGCCAGUUGCAUUCGACUAUACGGGCAACGUGAGCCGCGGGCUGUGGCAGCCCCGUUUCGGGACGAAACUAUACAAGCUGAGGUUCGGCUCGAACGUGCAGAUUGUUUUGCAGGACACUGCUAUUGUCUCGACCGAGGACCAUCCGAUGCAUCUUCAUGGAUACCAUUUCUUUGUUGUGGGCCAGGGCUUCGGCAAUUUCAACCCGAGAAGAGAUACAGCGAGAUUCAACCUCGUCGAUCCUCCCCUGAGGAACACCAUCAAUGUACCCGUUGGUGGAUGGGCCGUUAUUCGAUUUGUGGCAGAUAAUCCAGGUUAGUGAAGCUGAAACAUAUAUAUUUACGAAUAAAUUGCAUUUAUUAAUAGGCCUUAUCAAUAUAUUUUUGUCGAAUUCAUUUCGGUUUUUUUUUUUUUUUUGUUUGCAGGAGUUUGGUUGAUGCAUUGUCACAUAGAUUCCCAUCUAACUUGGGGCUUAGGUAUGGCAUUCUUGGUCGAGAACGGAAUCGGAGAAUUGCAGUCCGUCGCGGCUCCUCCACCCGAUCUCCCUCCUUGUUAGAAUUUUUUUUUCUUUUCGAUUUAUCAAGUAAUUAUUGUAUUUAUUACUGUUUUCUCCAUUCAUUUCAUUGACAAAAACAAGUCAAUAGUUUGUUCAUGUUGUAUUGUUCUUUUCCUACUUCCAUUACCAAUGUAUCCGAAGGUCUAGAAUCGGCCGACAAAGGUCUUUAACGAGGCCACCCUGUAUUCGAUUUUUAUUAAUGGAAUAGAAGUCGUAUUCUGGCAAAAAAAAAAAUAUUGAUCUAGAAUCGAACUAACGGGAGAUUCUUGAAACGAUUUUUACGGUUUCUCUGAACAAAAAGAGCAGAAUUGUACAUACAAUAAAGUAAUUUAAUGUGUGUGUGUGUAGCUCUAAAAUGUGCACAAAAACCUGCAUUAGACUUCUUUUUACAUGCAUACGUAACCCUACUUUGUACAAAACGAAAAACUUCUAACCGGAUUAUGCGAAGCCUUCUCUUGCCCUCUCAAGAUUUGCUGCUGCACAACCAAAACCGAAGCCCUACUCCCGAAAUCCAACGAGGCAACAUACUCCCCUAUAAUUCCUAACUCGGCGUUCUCGCUCCAAUUCGACAGCCCUUUCAAAAGAACCGGAUUUAUCCCGUACUUUCUCCCCACGAUCCAAAGAUCGUACGGCUCAUUCUUCAUCGCCUGAAUAGCAUCAAUCGUUUCCUCCCCAUUCUUCGACACCACCUCUCGAUAAACGACUCGUCUGUUCCCUUCAUUCUUCACCCAAAACCAAGUCACGAGAGCAUCGUCCAUCUUCUUCUCCACGUGAUUAUCCCCUUCGUCCUCGUGCGAGAGAAAUCUAAUCACCGUUAGUGAAAUCCGAGUGUUUCCCGCCAUUCGGUCCGCGUAAGAGAGCGCCUCCCUCGCGUCCGCACCGCCCAAGAAAAGGACGACAAAGUGGUGGUCCGUCGAACUUCUCAACACGCCGCCGAUUAGGUUUCGGCAAGGGGUCUUGUCCACUAGAAUCCCCACCGAGCAAGGCGCGUGCGAGAGCACGUUCGAACUCACGGACUGAAAGCGCUGCCUGUUCAUCGUCGUCGCUCUCAGGUUGUCCGCUAUUUUCUUGUGGAGCGGUAGAAUAAUCAGGCACGCCUGCUUCGUGAGCGCCAGCUCGCACACGUCUUGGUACAUGCUCCUCUUGGGCGAGAUCGCCGUGUACGAGUGUAUCUUGACGCACCCGUUUCUAGCAUCCUCGAAUAUCUUCAGCGCGUUGCGUAUGGAGCUCGACUUCGAUCCCUCGUCUCGUUUCUCGUCUUCUUGGUCGUGGUCGAUGAACACAGGAUUCGCGCGGCCGAGGAGCUCGACCAGGCACAGGGCGUGCACGGAGAGAGGGCUGCUCGACGUCGGAUUAAAGAGCUCGAGAAGUUUCAUGAGCCCGCUGAGAUUCUCUUCGCCGUGAAUGCCGGCCACUAUGUGGAGCUCGGUGUUGGGAGGCGUGUGCUGGAUGUUACGCCUCGUGUCCACCAUGUAGGGCCUCGUCGGGUCGUAGAUUAUGCUGAUUAAGGGUGACGCCACAGCGGUCACAGCCAGUGACAGUAGCACAAGAAUUGUGAACUCGGGCUGCAUUAUCAUCUGCAGAGAUCCACAAGACCGGUUCAUGAUCGUAACAAUAAUAUAGUUUAUUGCAUUUAGUACCCAUGUGCAAUACCAAAUUGCUAAAAACCCUCGAUACAUUUUUUUUCAGCAGACAAACCCCUGUAAAAUGGUGCAUGUAAAUUGCUAAUAAAAUUGAAAUUUUGCUAAUGUUUGUAAUACGAUGAGUUUUUUUAACAAUUAGAGUGAACACAAGGGGGUGCUAAAUGCAGUAAACUUCAUAGUAAUGUAUCGAACAAAUAACAAAGCUAAGAAAAACCUCAGCAAAAAAUCCAAUGUUAUUUUAUUGGCAAAAUCCUCUAUGAUUCAAUUUUUUAUAACUAAACUAACCCCUAAAAACUCACUUGUAUAAUAAGGGGGCUAUUUGCUAAUAUUUAUAACAUAGGGAGUUCUUUAGCAAUUCAAUGUAACACAAAGAGGGUACUAAAUGCAAUAAACUCUUUAAAAAACAUUUACCUUAAAAUCCAUCCAGUGCAUAAACAAGAGAAGUUCCACCUCACCCCUUAAACUCAUUAUCAAGCUGAGGGUGAGACUAUCUCGAAUCGUCAUGCCCAAGAAACGAGAAGUGAAGAGCGUCGACAGCAUUUUGACGGCGUAACCAACUAACACCAUGUAAAGAAGCGGUUCCAAAUGCGACCAAUGGCCGCUCAUGGAAGAAAGAUCGGUAAUCAUGCCGACAUACAUAAACGAAAAGGGCAUGAGAAUAUCCAUCACGAUCGUCUCGCUCUUCUCCACAAGAAUGGCCCCCAAUGGGGGGCCGUCCGGUACAGCCAAACCGAGCCACAAAGGCCCAUUGGCUACUGCCAGCCCAAGCAUAUCCGAGAAAAAUCCAACGACCAAAACGCCCCCCAGUAUUGCAACCACGUAGAUCUGAUCCACCGGCUUCCCUUUAGGGGUAUUUCGGACAAUCCACAUCAUGGCGUGCCUGAGUCCGACUAUGAUGAACACCAGCACGACUGCCAACGAAAUCAUGUACCACAAAGCUGCUAUUGCCCUGUGCUCCCCUUGCUUGGACGCCUCGAAUAUGACGACGCCGUUCAUUCCGAUCACGUCACUUAUUAUCGCUGUCGAUAGUGCCAUUUUCCCGAUUUCGGAGCUGAGUAGAUUCAGCUCCUUCACUAUGCGAUAAAGAACGGGGAACGCUGUGAUAGCUAGUGAAGAAGUUAUCCCGAGUAUCGAGGAAGCUUUCGACAUCUCUUUGCCCAGAGAUUUCCUCACGGCAAUCGCAACACCUACGCCGCAACAGAGCGGCACAACUAUACCGACUAUCGCAAUGUACCAAUUCUUUUUGUCGGCUUUUCUUAUCGUAGAUAUGUCCAUUUUCACCCCGGAUAUGAAGAGGAAAUACAUGAAUCCCAUCACUGNNNNNNNNNNNNNNNNNNNNNNNNNNNNNNNNNNNNNNNNNNNNNNNNNNNNNNNNNNNNNNNNNNNNNNNNNNNNNNNNNNNNNNNNNNNNNNNNNNNNNNNNNNNNNNNNNNNNNNNNNNNNNNNNNNNNNNNNNNNNNNNNNNNNNNNNNNNNNNNNNNNNNNNNNNNNNNNNNNNNNNNNNNNNNNNNNNNNNNNNNNNNNNNNNNNNNNNNNNNNNNNNNNNNNNNNNNNNNNNNNNNNNNNNNNNNNNNNNNNNNNNNNNNNNNNNNNNNNNNNNNNNNNNNNNNNNNNNNNNNNNNNNNNNNNNNNNNNNNNNNNNNNNNNNNNNNNNNNNNNNNNNNNNNNNNNNNNNNNNNNNNNNNNNNNNNNNNNNNNNNNNNNNNNNNNNNNNNNNNNNNNNNNNNNNNNNNNNNNNNNNNNNNNNNNNNNNNNNNNNNNNNNNNNNNNNNNNNNNNNNNNNNNNNNNNNNNNNNNNNNNNNNNNNNNNNNNNNNNNNNNNNNNNNNNNNNNNNNNNNNNNNNNNNNNNNNNNNNNNNNNNNNNNNNNNNNNNNNNNNNNNNNNNNNNNNNNNNNNNNNNNNNNNNNNNNNNNNNNNNNNNNNNNNNNNNNNNNNNNNNNNNNNNNNNNNNNNNNNNNNNNNNNNNNNNNNNNNNNNNNNNNNNNNNNNNNNNNNNNNNNNNNNNNNNNNNNNNNNNNNNNNNNNNNNNNNNNNNNNNNNNNNNNNNNNNNNNNNNNNNNNNNNNNNNNNNNNNNNNNNNNNNNNNNNNNNNNNNNNNNNNNNNNNNNNNNNNNNNNNNNNNNNNNNNNNNNNNNNNNNNNNNNNNNNNNNNNNNNNNNNNNNNNNNNNNNNNNNNNNNNNNNNNNNNNNNNNNNNNNNNNNNNNNNNNNNNNNNNNNNNNNNNNNNNNNNNNNNNNNNNNNNNNNNNNNNNNNNNNNNNNNNNNNNNNNNNNNNNNNNNNNNNNNNNNNNNNNNNNNNNNNNNNNNNNNNNNNNNNNNNNNNNNNNNNNNNNNNNNNNNNNNNNNNNNNNNNNNNNNNNNNNNNNNNNNNNNNNNNNNNNNNNNNNNNNNNNNNNNNNNNNNNNNNNNNNNNNNNNNNNNNNNNNNNNNNNNNNNNNNNNNNNNNNNNNNNNNNNNNNNNNNNNNNNNNNNNNNNNNNNNNNNNNNNNNNNNNNNNNNNNNNNNNNNNNNNNNNNNNNNNNNNNNNNNNNNNNNNNNNNNNNNNNNNNNNNNNNNNNNNNNNNNNNNNNNNNNNNNNNNNNNNNNNNNNNNNNNNNNNNNNNNNNNNNNNNNNNNNNNNNNNNNNNNNNNNNNNNNNNNNNNNNNNNNNNNNNNNNNNNNNNNNNNNNNNNNNNNNNNNNNNNNNNNNNNNNNNNNNNNNNNNNNNNNNNNNNNNNNNNNNNNNNNNNNNNNNNNNNNNNNNNNNNNNNNNNNNNNNNNNNNNNNNNNNNNNNNNNNNNNNNNNNNNNNNNNNNNNNNNNNNNNNNNNNNNNNNNNNNNNNNNNNNNNNNNNNNNNNNNNNNNNNNNNNNNNNNNNNNNNNNNNNNNNNNNNNNNNNNNNNNNNNNNNNNNNNNNNNNNNNNNNNNNNNNNNNNNNNNNNNNNNNNNNNNNNNNNNNNNNNNNNNNNNNNNNNNNNNNNNNNNNNNNNNNNNNNNNNNNNNNNNNNNNNNNNNNNNNNNNNNNNNNNNNNNNNNNNNNNNNNNNNNNNNNNNNNNNNNNNNNNNNNNNNNNNNNNNNNNNNNNNNNNNNNNNNNNNNNNNNNNNNNNNNNNNNNNNNNNNNNNNNNNNNNNNNNNNNNNNNNNNNNNNNNNNNNNNNNNNNNNNNNNNNNNNNNNNNNNNNNNNNNNNNNNNNNNNNNNNNNNNNNNNNNNNNNNNNNNNNNNNNNNNNNNNNNNNNNNNNNNNNNNNNNNNNNNNNNNNNNNNNNNNNNNNNNNNNNNNNNNNNNNNNNNNNNNNNNNNNNNNNNNNNNNNNNNNNNNNNNNNNNNNNNNNNNNNNNNNNNNNNNNNNNNNNNNNNNNNNNNNNNNNNNNNNNNNNNNNNNNNNNNNNNNNNNNNNNNNNNNNNNNNNNNNNNNNNNNNNNNNNNNNNNNNNNNNNNNNNNNNNNNNNNNNNNNNNNNNNNNNNNNNNNNNNNNNNNNNNNNNNNNNNNNNNNNNNNNNNNNNNNNNNNNNNNNNNNNNNNNNNNNNNNNNNNNNNNNNNNNNNNNNNNNNNNNNNNNNNNNNNNNNNNNNNNNNNNNNNNNNNNNNNNNNNNNNNNNNNNNNNNNNNNNNNNNNNNNNNNNNNNNNNNNNNNNNNNNNNNNNNNNNNNNNNNNNNNNNNNNNNNNNNNNNNNNNNNNNNNNNNNNNNNNNNNNNNNNNNNNNNNNNNNNNNNNNNNNNNNNNNNNNNNNNNNNNNNNNNNNNNNNNNNNNNNNNNNNNNNNNNNNNNNNNNNNNNNNNNNNNNNNNNNNNNNNNNNNNNNNNNNNNNNNNNNNNNNNNNNNNNNNNNNNNNNNNNNNNNNNNNNNNNNNNNNNNNNNNNNNNNNNNNNNNNNNNNNNNNNNNNNNNNNNNNNNNNNNNNNNNNNNNNNNNNNNNNNNNNNNNNNNNNNNNNNNNNNNNNNNNNNNNNNNNNNNNNNNNNNNNNNNNNNNNNNNNNNNNNNNNNNNNNNNNNNNNNNNNNNNNNNNNNNNNNNNNNNNNNNNNNNNNNNNNNNNNNNNNNNNNNNNNNNNNNNNNNNNNNNNNNNNNNNNNNNNNNNNNNNNNNNNNNNNNNNNNNNNNNNNNNNNNNNNNNNNNNNNNNNNNNNNNNNNNNNNNNNNNNNNNNNNNNNNNNNNNNNNNNNNNNNNNNNNNNNNNNNNNNNNNNNNNNNNNNNNNNNNNNNNNNNNNNNNNNNNNNNNNNNNNNNNNNNNNNNNNNNNNNNNNNNNNNNNNNNNNNNNNNNNNNNNNNNNNNNNNUAAACCGAAUGACACGAGAAAAUAACGAUGAGGAACGAAAGCUCCCAACAGGACAAGGGGGAAAAGAGAAAUCUAAUGGAUUUUAGCCGUAGAAAUGCGGUAGGAAUGAUCGUUGUGUAUCUUCCUAAAUAUAAUAUAAUCGAGUUCAUCACCAUUGCUGGUAAGAAUUGAUGAAGAUUGUUCGUUAAUCGAAGAAAGAGUGAAGGAAAAAAAAGAAAAAAAAUGAGUGCAGAAGAUGGGAGCCAUGAUUGAUUAACGGAUGUUGCAAGAAACUAACACAGAGAGGUGCGAAAAGUGUUUGGUUGGACAAGCGGAAAUAUAGUUGUCUCACUUUUUUAGAGUUAGUUAAUGUGGUUACUGGUUACUGUAUAUAUAAUGGGGAUAAUUACACUUUUGGUCCCUCAUGUUUGGUCCGAUUUCACUUUUGGUCCCCCUUGUUCUAAAGUGAACCAAGUUCACCUCCAAGUUUCAAUUUUAAACAUUUUUGGUCCCUGCCGUUACAUGUCCGUUAGCAAGUAACGGAAAACACUAUUUUGGGGGUGAAAAUUGAAAUUUUAAUUUUUUUUGGGGCUGAAAAAUAAUUAUAAAUUUACAAUAGACUACCUAUAAGUUUUAAUAAUAAAAAAAAAAGAAAUUAACGAAACAAAGUAUUUUUUAUGAUACCUAAUAUUAUUAUAAUUAUACUACUUAUAAUUAAAUUUUUAAUAAUAAAAAAAUUAACUAAACAACUUAUUUUUAGUCAUACUUAAUAUUAUUUUUAAUUAUACUACUUAUGAUAAAAAAAAUUAAUACAAAAAAAAAAAAAAACAAAUUAGCUAAACAAAUUAUUUUUAAUUAUACUUAAUAUUAUUACAGUUAUACAACUUAUAUUAAUUUUUAAGAAUAAAAAAAUAAAUUAACCUAAACAAGUUAUUUUUAAUUAUACUUAAUAUUAUUUUUAAUUAUACUACUUAUAAUAAAAAAAUAAUAAAAAAAGAAAUUAGCUAAACAAAUUGUUUAUAAUUAUACUUAAUAUUAUUAUAAUUAUACUACUUAUAAUUAGAUUUUUAAUAAUAAAAAAAGAAAUGAAUUAAAUAUAUUAAUAUGUAUUAUACUUAAUAUUAGUUUUAAUUAUACUAAUUAUGAUUAUUUUUUUAAUAAUAAAAAAAAAUAACUAAAUAAAUUUCAUUAUGCUCAAUAUUAUUAAAGAUUUAAUUAUAAAUAGUCUAUUUUAAAUUUCUAAUUAUUUUCCAGCCCCAAAACAAUUUAAAAUUUUAAUUUUGGCCCCAAAAUAGUGUUUUCCGUUACUUGCUAACGGAUAUGUAACGGCGGGGACCAAAAGUAUUUAAAAUUGAAACUUGGAGGUGAACUUUGUUCACUUUGGAACUAGGGGGACCAAAAGUGAAAUUGGACUAAACAUGAGGGACCAAAAGUGUAAUUAUCCCAUAUAUAAUCAGUUUAAUUUUUUUUUUAUUUUUUUUAUUUUUUUUAUGUUUUUUUUUAAAUGCAGAAAUGAUCAAUUAAAUUGUUUUGUAUAUUUGUUCAAAUAAAAAUAAAUUUAUUAAUAAUUUGUUUUGUACUUUGUAUGUCAAAAAUUGGUAAUUAGUAUAAAGCCAAAUUACGGCCACCCCCAAAGGUAUGGCCAAAUUAUGAAGAAAAACCCUCUUGUUUGGGUAAUUACAACCCCCCUCUUUUAAAUAUUUUUACAAAAAAAAAUAUGUAAUUCGGUUAUUUAUCGAACCAAAUCGUAUAUUUAGUUUGGUUAACGGUAUGAAAUGUUAUAGUACCAAAAUUUUGGUUCGGUUUCACCAAAUUAACAUCCCUAAAUUUACCUCUGGAGGAGUCUUUUCGUAAGAUAAUACAUAGUUGAGGGGGGUGGCUGCAAUUACCCAAACAGAAGGAGGGUUUUUGUAAUUUGACAAUAACUCAGGGGGUGGCCGUAAUUUGCCCAUAAAAUCAAUGGCUAAUCAUUUUCGAAACAAAAAUUAAAAUAAAAAUGAGUUUCCUUUCGAAACAUGAUGAUAUUAAAGUGUUUUAGAGAGGAAAAUGCGACGAAGAGGCUGAGAUAUCACGGCGUAAGGUGAACAAGACAAGACUGCAAUGUGCUAAAAUAAAAUGCCAUUUUUAUUAUUUUACAUGCGAAAGAGCAAAAUUAUUUUCCUAAUACUAUUAAUUUUCUUAUUUUGUUUCUUUAAGAGAUGUCUAUGUAAUGAUUUCAAAAUAGGAGGGGUAUCUAUUUAUUAAGAUCUAACCUUGGGGAUGACAAUGUAAUUUACUUACUAUUUGCUAAGAGGUAAAAUUUAAAUUUCAAAAAAUUCAAUGGUCAAAUGAAUUAAUUGUUAACUAAUAUCAACCUCAAUAGAGGUACGCGUAACUUUUUAAUUUUCAAAUUAGAUGAGGUCUAGCUGUAAUUGCACCUAAUGUCAGGAGAGAAUAUGCAAUUUUACCCUUAUAGAUAUCCCUAAUUUGCAAAAUUAAAUAACCAAUAAAAUAUGCAUCAUCUAACAAUUUCUCCUUAUGUCAAUAUUAAGUUAAUAUCUUUUAGAUUCUAAGGUCUCGUUUGGUUACCAUCUUCUUGAUAAAAUUUUACAAUAUAUGAUUCAAAUCUUACGAUUCGAUUCGAUUUAUGUAUUCAUCGAUUCAAAUUUUAUAAUAAGAUCUUAAAUGCCACAAAACCAUAAUUGAAUUUGUUAAAUUUGGCAAUAUUAUGACUCGAUUUUUAUGCUUAGGAUUUUUGAGAUUUAAGAAAAUUUAUUAUAUUUUGAGAAAAAAAAAUGAUUAGAAAGAAAAUUAUUAGAGUAAGUUAAGUAUGAUAGAUCAACAUGAUAUUUAUUCACACUACGGUUAAUCAAAAUACAUUUCGAAUUUCUCGUUAACACUUUAUGUUGGAUUUUCGGGCGAAUUGCAUUUAGGCCCAUAGGUUCAGACUUAAUUGCACAUAUAUCCGGACCAAAAAAAAGUCUAUACUCUUGUAGUUUUUCAAAAUACUCCUCAAAAUAUAAUUUACAUCAAUUUCAUCCAUAAAACCAUAACUUAAGUAAUACUGCAAUUGACCCUCGAUUUUAACAAAUAUGUCACAUUUUCACAAUUUUUUGAAUUUGUUUUUUUAUGAAUUCAUUUUUUUCCAAACACUGACUACCAUUGAUUUUUUUUUUUUGAUUUUUUUUUCCGAUUGUGGACCACCGGUCUCUGGCGUUGUCCUUUUUUUUCCUUGAACCUUUUUUCUCGUCGUUGACAGGCGGUGGUCAAAACCGCCCUAACUUUAUCUUCUUCUUCUUCUUCUUCUUUUUUUUUUUUUUUUUUUUUUUUUGAUUUCUUUCCUAUCUUGAAUUGGUAGCACAGUAAGAUAGAUUACUGUGAACAUAAUCUCUCGUAAUAAGCUACAACAACGUUAAUUCUCGAAAGAAUUCGCGUAACAAAGCCGUUGAGGAAUUCAGUUCAUAUGAGAUGCAGCGCGAUGUCUCUGAUUGCGGCAAUUUAAAAGUUCUUCAAUGGAAAAGCCGCUAAGGAAUUCAAGCAAAUAUUUUUCCCAAAAAAUUGGUAGGUUGGAUUUUAAAGGAAAAAAAUUUAAAGGAAAUUUUAAAUCCAGUAACCGGUAACCAUCCCCAGGAGAAUCAUUUCCUUCCCGGGAAAGCUUCUUUUUCGGAGUAGAACCAGCAUACAUUUCCUCCAAGCUACAUAGGAGGGGGUUUUCCCCAAGGGUCCCCUUCCGGGAUCUUUUUUGGCCGCCGCCGCCGCCCCCAGAAAAUUUUUUAGUUCCCCCCCCGUUCAUGGUCAGGCCCCGAAAAUCCCCUUUUUUUAGGGCCCCAUUAUGGCGGUUCCUACCAGUUUUCCCAGGGGGGUUCCGGUUAUUGCUCCCCCAAAAAAUCUGGGCAAAAAUUUGGUGGCCAUUCCUGGGAUGGAUUGGAAAAUUAGGUUUCGGAUGCUGCGGGGGGUUGUUUUAGUAAAAACUCUAUUUCUGGCCCCAAAAUUUCCGCCGGGGGGGGGGGGGGGGGGGGAAUUGGCCCGAUUUGAGGCCCUCUUAGCCGUAGAGAUCGUAGAUCUGGCGCUUCUGAUACAUCGCAGGCUUUGGAAAUCUGCUUGAAUUUGGCCUCGGACUCCUCCUAGUUGGCGUUUUUGUCGGGAUGCCAAAUCAUGGCGAGGCGGCGGUAGGCUUUCUUCAAGUCUUCGUCGCUGGCGUUGCGGUUCGCUGUCAGGAUGUUGUAGUAAUCAUUCCCCAUAUUUGGGUUCCAAUUUGAGGGGGGAAUUGGUCCGAUUUGAGGCCCUCUUCGCCGUAGAGAUCGUAGAUCAGGCGCUUCCGAGGGUCGCUGAGUACAUCGUAGGCUUCGGAAAUCUGCUUGAAUUUGACCUCGGCCUCCUACUUGUUGGCGUUUUUGUCGGGAUGCCAAAUCAUGGCGAGGCGGCGGUAGGCUUUCUUCAAGUCUUCGUCGCUGGCGUUGCGGUUCACUUUCAGGAUGUUGUAGUACUCAAUCCCCAUAUCUGGGUUCCGAUUCCGAUUGUUGAAAUUGGGGCUUUUUUUUCUUUUUUUUUGUAAUUCCUGUUACGGGAAGUGAUUGAUUGCAGAUGUGAGAGAAGGAGGGCGGUGGUGGUGGGCGGGGUCCGAUUUGAGGCCCUCUUCGCCGUAGAGAUCAUAGAUCUGGCGCUUCUGAGGGCCGCUGAGUACAUCGUAGGCUUCGGAAAUCUGCUUGAAUUCGGUCUCGGCCUCUUGCUUGUUGGCGUUUUUGUCAGGAUGCCAAAUCAUGGCGAGGCGGCGGUAGGCUUUCUUCAAGUCUUCGUCGCUGGCGUUGCGGUUCACUGUCAGGAUGUUGUAGUAAUCAAUCCCUAUAUCUGGGUUCCGAUUUGAGGGGGGAAUUGGCCCGAUUUGAGGCCCUCUUCGCCCGAUUUGAGGCCAUCUUCGCCGUAGAGAUCGUAGAUCUGGCGCUUCUGAGGGUCGCUGAGUACAUCGUAGGCUUCGGAAAUCUGCUUGAAUUUGGCCUGGGCCUCCUGCUUGUUGGCGUUUUUGUCGGGAUGCCAAAUCAUGGCGAGGCGCCGGUAGGCUUUCUUCAAGUCUUCGUCGCUGGCGUUGCGGUUCACUUUCAGGAUGUUGUAGUACUCAAUCCCCAUAUCUGGGUUCCGAUUCCGAUUGUCGAAAUUAGGGCUCUUUUUCUCAUAAUUCCUGUUACGGGAAGUGAUUGAUUGCAGAGAGGAGGGCGGUGGUGGUGGGCGGGGACCGAUUUGAGGCCCUCUUCACCGUAGAGAUCAUAGAUCUGGCGCUUCUGAGGGCCGCUGAGUACAUCAUAGGCUUCGGAAAUCUGCUUGAAUUUGGCCUCGGCCUCUUGCUUGUUGGCGUUUUUGUCAGGAUGCCAAAUCAUGGCGAGGCGGCGGUAGGCUUUCUUCAAGUCUUCGUCGCUGGCAUUGCGGUUCACUUUCAGGAUGUUGUAGUAAUCAAUCCCCAUAUCUAGGUUCCGAUUCCGAUUGUUGAAAUUGGGGCUCUUUUUUUUUUUAAUUCCUGUUACGGGAAGUGAUUGAUUGCAGAUGUGAGAGGAGGAGGGCGGUGGUGGUGGGCGGGGCUGCGGUGGUUGAAAUUUAGAGUAGUAGAGAAAUUGGGUUUGAACAAGGAAGGUGGUGACGAGGUAUGUGACUGGGAAGGAGGAAGAAGGUGGGGUUAUUUUUUUAAUUUUGUUCAUAUGAGUUUUUACCUGGAAAAAAACUAGGGCACGGAUGCAAGAAAGGGGAAGAUGAAGAUUGUAGUAUUUAUAACGAUUAAUUUUGUAAUUGAGGUAUUUUCGAAGGAUAUUUUCGACGUUACACAUGGGUUACAAAAGGGGAUUCAAUAUGUGACAACUAGUCAAGCCAUCUUUGGCCUGACUAAUAAUAAUUCGAAUGGGGUAUUAAAUGGGUGGGCCCAACAGUCAAGGAUGGUUAACUCAAGCAAACCAAACGUUGUACAAAACGGUAGAACCCAUCCCAUCCCUUGUAAUACCCCAACCAAAGAGGCCCUCAAGGUAUAAGGGAAAAAUUGACUGGUAUUCCUAGUACACCUUAUUUUUACAACACCAUUUAAAAUACGCAUAUAUUAUUUCCCCACAAUUUCGACUUACUUGACCGUCGGAGUGCUUAUAUUGUCGGGAAAUCUUUCCACGACACACCUUUUUUGCAGGUCUCUUGGGAGUACGUGGGUUUUUUCUUUGGUCCUUCCUAUUUCGAGGCUUGUCCCAUUCAUUUAUCUUGGGUUAUCGAUAUAGGCCAGAUCACAAAGCGAAUUUACACAAUUAAAUAAAUGAGGACUUUGUGAUACGGGUGUGCACGGAUCGGUACGGUUCGAUUUUUCCAAUAAACCAAAUACGUACCGAUAAUAUCGUUCUUUCAUAUUUUAAGAACCGAAUAUGUCGGUUUUUUUCGGUUCGAUGUUAAUUGGUUUUUCGAUUUUUGGUUUAUGGUUUCCGUAUCAAUACGGUUUAUUUUGAAUUUCGAUUUCGUCUAUUUGUUCGAAACGGUUCGGCAUAAAAUCGAUAUAUUUGAACUUUCAUUAUAUUUAUUUUGAGAAAACUAAUAAAUAAUAAUCGAAAAUUAACUAAUAAAAAAUACGUGACAACCAAAAAUUAAUUAAUAGAAAAACAUGUCACAUGGAGGCGCUCGAAAGAAGAGGCAUGCUAGGGUAAGUAUUUAUACUAUAUAUCAAAAAGACUUCAUUUUGUAUAAAUAGAUUCGGUUCGGUAAAUCAGUUCUGUAAUUUUUUUAUUCCCCAUACACAAACCGAUAUUUUCGGUUUUAAAUUCUUUUUUUACCGUAUAUGCGGUUUUAAGUCAUAACGGUACAUAUCGACUCGAUUUUUUCGAUUUUCGAGUUCUCAAUUUUUCUGCUCACCCCAACUCUUAGAUGUUUGCCCAAUAAAAAAAUGAUUAUUAAUUUAAGCUAAACUUUUUUCAUUGUUCCCUUUGGUUUAACUUCAUUAUUACCAAAACAUGUUUUCCAAACUAAUUGAAUGAAUGCGUUUCCAGUAAAAUUUUUAUAACUUAAUACUCGAUAAAUUAAUAAUUUUGCUUAAAUAAUAUAUUUUUGCGAGACUAGGUGAAAACGUAUUAAAUUAUUAGUUCAUCAAUCCAAUAAUUCCCUAAAAUAAUAAAAUUUUACUAAUUCCAACUAUUUAAUUUAUGGAGAUUUAACUGUAUAUACUUACGCAAUCCCAUAAAAAAUGAAGUUUAUAGAGAGGCAAAGAAGUAUAGUUAAAUUUGAUGAUGGUGCUUGUCUCUGUGCAACCACAUUGUGCACUACUAACAUAUAAUCAUAACAUAGUGUCAUUACAGUAACACAAGAUUUGGGUGUCUUGUGAAACAGUUAACUUUGUUUCUUUGUUUGCAUACAAUUAGGCACAUUGUGUACCCUAAAGCAACAUCAUAUUCUGUAAAAUUAUGAUCCAACAAAUUAUGAUGUUACACGUAAAUCCCAUUAGUUUCCAAAUCCAUAUUUAUGCUAUAAAGUUGAGAUGUAAAUUUUUCGAAAGGCCAAAUUACGAAAAUCUCCCUGAUGUAAGGUCUAUAUUUUGACGAAUAAAAAUCAGAGAAAUUUUUGUAAUUAGACUUUGCCCUAGGGGGUUUCUUGUAAUUUAACUUUUUUUUUAUAUGAUACGAUACGACCCUUUCGAACACCCUUUUCCGCGGUGGUAUCUUUGAAAUUUUAUUUAAUUAUUUCUUUUGUGCCAUUUCUUUGAAUUUAUGCUGCUAAAAAAAUUAAUAAUUAAAUAGACUUUUUUUUACAUAAUAAUAAAACCAUAAGUAAUUUUAUUUUAUGUGCACUACUUAAAAUAAAACAAAAACAGUAAGGAAAUAAUUUGAAGAAGUAAAAAAACAAUACUACAAUUUUGGUAUGCUCUACUUGGAGAGUCAUUUAUCAAAUCUCUAAUUUUGGAGAGUCGUAAAUAGGGGUACAAAAACCGAACUUAGUAAGCUCAAGUUUGAGCUCAAACCAAAUUUAUUUAGCUCAAACUCGAAAAUAAUUUCUUUAGUUCGAGAUGAAACUAAUUUUUUUAUACUCCCUCCAUUCCAUGAUAUUUGUAACUUUAAAGAAAUUUUAUUGUUCCAUAUUAUUUGUCAUUUUACAAUUUCAAUAUUGUAAUAAUUACAUAUUUUAUAGGGGUAUGUACUUAUUAACUCUUGAACAUUAUCCAUGUCUUAAUUAAUAAAUAAGGGUAUUUUGGUCUAACAAUAUAUUUUUUUUUCAUAAAUUCAAGAUUCAUUUAUUAACAUUCUUAAGACUUAUGCAAAGGUGAAAAAAGACUGUUAAUUAAGAACGAAGAAAGUAUAUAUUAAAAAAAAAAAUUAUAACAAAACUUACAAAAUAAAAAAUGAACUGAAAUUUAAUUUUUCUACGUAUUCUUUUCACGGUAAAUUCCACUUUUUCUCUUUGUAUUUUUUCUCGAAUUACUUUAUCUCUACUACUCUUGAUUUUAUCGAUUUACCUCCAUGUACUUGAAAAAUGUCUCAAUGUGGCUCUCGCGGUUAGUUUUCAGACCUCUGACCUUAGCACCAUUGAUCUAAGUCUGAAAAAUACAAAAAAAAUACCCCCCAGUUUAAAUAAUUAUUAAUAAACUUAAUAAAAAAAAAAUUGUUGCUGGCGUCGUGGACUAUGUUUUCUCGUUGUCUUGAAUUUUUUAUUAUUAUUUUUUCAUUUGUUUUUGUAUAAUAGUUUAAACUAGGAGAGGUGACGUUUUUGUAAUUUCAAAUCUUCGAUCAAAUGGUGGUGUUAAGGUUAAAUAUCUGACAACUAAUAGCAAGGGCCAUAUCGAGAUAAUUUUUCUAGUGCAGGAAGGCAAUUCGAUACAAUCGAAAUUAGAAGGGGGUAAAGUGAUAUCGAGUCAAAGUACAAGUAGCAAAUUUUACCAUUCUUUUUAUAUAAUAAAAAAACUAGCGGGGAAUCGGUUCACAAGCUUAUGGAACAAUUAAAAUGGAUUCAGUAUCGAACUUGUUAGAAAGCUCGAGCUCGUAACCACAUACUAAAAUAAAUAAAAAAUAAAAAAUAAAGUAAAUUGGAAAAAAGGAGUCAACAUCGAGUGCUGUAGAAAUUCAUGGGUCAUAAUUAAAAAGCCUGCAGAAAAAUUUAAGUCGAUCGAAAGCAAUUAAUAUAAUAAAAAUUAAAAAACAUAGCCCAUAACUACUAUUAAAGGCCUUCUGUUGCAGACUACACCAAUAAUAAUAGCUACCCUCCCCCACCAUCAAACAAAUGCCUUACCUGCAACUCCUUUUAUUGCCUCUUUUAUUCCCUCACAUUUCUGAGUUUUUAUUAACCACAUUAUUUUUUUUCUAAAAAUACAUUUUUAUUCAGAAAAAUAUAAUUAAUUUAUUUAUAUAUAUGUAAGUAUACGUACACUUCUACACCCCACCACAUGUUACCAACUCAUGAACAUGAAUAUCUAGGAAUAAGAAUAAGAAUGAUUGUCCCGACCAAAUUUUACUUGAGGUAAAUGCAUAACUAUUUCUUUUACUCCCUUCGCCCUAAAAAUAUGCAUGGAUUAUAACCCAAAUUACGGCCACCUUUGAAGUAAGUUUAAAUUACGAAAAUCCCAUAUUUAUCUGGGUAAUUACAACCACUUUGCUCGGCUAUGUAUUGUGUUACACAUUCUCUUACAGUUUUAAAUUUAUCUACUGAAUGAAUGGGCGAUUUCGUAAGACAAUACCUAGCUAAGGCGAGUGAUUGUAAUUAUCCAAACAUAAUGAAUUUUUUCGUAAUUUGAUUAUAUCUCAGAGGAUGGCCGUAAUAUGCCUAGCAAAAAAUACAAAAAGUGGUUGAAUAUAUACUCUUAUCUUUAAUUAUAUAUCAUUGAUUUUUCUUUCAAAUAGUUAAGAGUGAACCAUAAUAAAAUUAAGAAAAUUGUAAUUAAUGUAUUCAUUGGAAUUUAAUAGUAAAGUGACAAUUCAAAACAAAAAAUAUUCUCUAAACCUAAACCGACAAAUACUUUAACACGUAGUGAGUAUUUAUUUUAAUUGCUAAAAAAGGUCCUCAUGUUAUUUUUUAUUAUCAUAAAAUCUCCUAUGUUUAUUGUAUAUUAGCUCCAUGCCCCAAACUUAUUUUAUAGGUUUUACUAAGUGAAAAUUGACUAGCAAUUAGCACAAGUAGAAAUUGUUAAAUUCCUACAUUUGUCUAAAUACUUUUACUGUCAUAAUUGUGAUGAUAAAAAUGUAUAUUUAUUACAGUCAAAAAAAUAUUCUUUAUUACUUUUUAAGUAUAUUCAUUUUUUAAAUUUUCGUAAAUUUUCUAGAAUGUUAAUUAUGUUUUGCAAAAUUCAUAUGAAUCUUUUGUAUUUGGUUUUUAUUUUAUAAAUAUUGUGUAAUUUUUCGUUUAUUUUAAAAAAUCAUAAAUUAUUCACUAAAUUUAUGCCUUUUUAGAAAGAAAAAAAGAAAACAUAUCUUCUUUGAUCUUUGAAGAAGUACAUGUAUCUUUAUAGAUUUCUACUAUUUAUGUUUUAAAAAGAAUUGCACUGUUAAAAAUUAUAUAUUUUGAUAUGAUUUUUAGAGUUUCAGUAGUAUCGUUUAUUUUUCAAAAAAUUAAAACAUGUUUUGUAUUUAUAUAUAUGUUUUAGAAAUAAACUUAAGAAAGUGCCGUAAUACCCUUCCCUAUAUUAUUUCACCAAUAAUUCUCUUUCUCGAGAGACUUCAAAUUCAUAGCUCUCAAGCGUUGGUAGUUGUGUUUUUGUUAAAAAUAAAAUAAAAUAAAGAGUAUUAAGGGUAAUUAAUUUGUGAAAAAUACAUUAAAUGCAUUUAAAUUUGACAAAUAAUUUGUAAUAAAAAAAUAUUGCUACAAUUAUAUUUGGCAGAGGAGAUGUGAGUCUGAAAUAGUAAUUAAUGAGAAGCACGCUAGAGAGAGAGAGAGAGAGAGAGAGAGAGAGAGAGAGAGAGAGAGAGCAUGAAUGAAAAUCAAGAAACAAAGAAAUAAAACUAAACAAGAAACAAAGAAAUUAGGAGAGAGAGAGAGAGAGAGAGAGAGAGAGAGAGAGAGAGAGAGAGAGAGAGAGAGAGAGAGAGAGAGAGAGAGAGAGAGAGAGAGAGAGAGAGAGAGAGAGAGAGAGAGAGAGAGAAUGAAUCAAAAAACACACACACUGAGGUAUAUACAGAAGAGAAUAUUGGAUUAGGAACCAAAGCAACAAGCAUAAUAUAUUAAAACCAUAAUUAACUCUUUAUAUAUAUAUUUGUUUGAACAUAAAAUAUAUGUUCUUGAUAGUUAAAAAAUCGUAGAAAAAAAAAAAACCUCGGUGGAUGGAUUGGGAGGUAGCAAGAAGGAACCAUGAAACUCAGGAUGGAUAGCUCCCACAUCUAUAUAUAUAUAAUUGCAUAGAAACGACGUGGUGCUAUCCCUCCUGAGCUUUACGGAUCAUUCUAUACUGUGAAUUUCAUAUUUGACCAACAUCAUUUAUAUAUGUAUAUAUGUAUGUAUAUUUGUUGACUGACCAUCUCUCUCUCUAGGAUUUUUAAUGGCUGUGUGAAGAAAUGAAAAGGUUGAGGAGUGUAUUUAUAGGAGGAAGACUGGACCGGACAGGGAAAGGCAUAAAAUGGACCAAUUAAAGACAUUUUUUGGUAUUUUAUCUUUAUAUAUACUUUAUUUUUUAAUAUAUAUAUAUAUAUAUAUAUAUAUAUAUAUAUAUAUAUAUAUAUAUAUAUAUAUAUAUAUAUAUAUAUAUUGUUUCUUGAAUUUUGUUUCUUGGGCAUACUAACAUGCACAUAUGUACUAUUUUCUUGGCAAAUGCUUAUUGAAUAAUGGACUUGGUCUAAUGCAUAUAUAAGAAAAACACAUCUUGUGAUUUCUCCACAAUUUUCAUGAUUAUGAUAAUUAGGCUAUCCUUUUUGGCUACAAAAAUUGGGAAUAUUUUUUUGGUGGUAUGAAUAGCUUCUUAAUUAAUUCCCAUAUGUCUUGUUACCAUGUUUGUUCUAUUCAUUAUAGUGUUGUCUUGUCCUGUAUUAUUGUGAUAUAAUUAUUUAGCGUACAUCAAGGGUUUGAAUGUAAUGUAUAUUUUAGCAUAGAUAAGGGGUUUGCUAUUAUCAGUGCGGUUUUUACCACUCGCAGUGUAAAAUAAUUUUUUUUUUCUUUUCCAAAUCUUAUCCAAAUCUCCCAUCAAAUAAUCUCAACCUUUAAUUCUUGAAAUUUUUCAAUUUGAGUAAUUUUUCGACCAAUAUCAGUUAGAGCACAAGUAUUAUCGACAUGGAUGACAACGGCUUCGAUUUUGAGGUGAAAAUACACGUUUUUUGUUCAUUUCCAACGUUUUUAGACAUUUCGUGUUAUAACGCACGAAAUAUAUGCUCUUAUUUCGUGUAAUACUAUACGAAAUAUGUCUUAAAAUCGUUUGUUGUUUGUUUCGUAGACAAGCAUACGAAAUUAAAGCUUACAUUUCGUAGUAAAACCUACGAAAUGGAAGCUUUUAUUUCGUGUGUUUUUACACGAAAUUGUAGUUUACAUUUCGUAUGUUUUUCUACGAAAUCCCUUAAAUAUUGUCUUUUAAUUUUAAAUAUUUAUGCAGGAACUAAGAGAACAAUCUCACGAUCAUAGUCACUUCUUUGAACGUGGUACUGUGUCAUUGUGUGUAUGGGGGCAAAAGACACAACAAUUAGUCAUAAUCAUCAACUGAUUAAUCAUUGUAAAUCAGAAAAAUAUCAUGUUUUAACGUGUGCAAGAUAUCAAUCUACCGGGAAAUGGACCAUCUAGCACAUCCGGAUUGACUCGAGUAUGAGCUCGACCACCACGACCUCCACGACCUCGUCCUCAGCCUCCACGAUCUCCACGACCUCCACGAGCUACAACCUCAGUCUCGUGAAUGAGGUCCACAGCAUCCUCCUCCUCCUCCUCCUCCUCCAUAGCACGAGAAGACUGUUGGGUGCUAAAUACCAACACGCAAGUGUACGUAUCGCAAACAAGUAGUAAAGUAGACUCGUGAGAGUCGGAUGUCGAUCCCACAGGGAAUACGCAAAUUAUUUACUCCUAAGUACCAAAUCCUAACAAUUAUGAUUUUUAUUCAGCCUACGCAGGGUUGUCAAAUUAAUUAACUAAAUAAAUUAAACUAAUUAAGAAAGCAAUUAAUCACGAUAAAAUAUCAAUAUAAAACGGAUCUAGGAUUUUAUCUUCCCCCUAUGCGAUAAUUCUUCACCCAACUAAUCUCCUAUUAUGCAAGUUACGAUUCCCGAUUAUUAACCCAAGACACGAAAUUAUUCAUAACCAGCUGUCGCUGCGCUAUAAACCUAUUAUUCAUAAAAGAUUCACUAUAUGUCUAUGCAAACCUAAUAUAAAUAAAGCAUUAAAUAACAAGUCUCGCAAACGGCUACCUAAGGUAUUAUCUGUAUGUCUACGAUAAUACAUGCAAUCAACACACGCAUUCGGUGAAAAACUACUCGAAGGCUCUUCUAUCCAUGUUCUAAUUAUUAAAACGAUCUGUCAAUCGAUUCUAACAAUAACAAAUAGCAACAUAAGUUAGCUACGCUCAUGCACUAAAUAAGAUCAAGAUAGAAGAAAUAAUCGAAAAAUUAAACUUGCAUAAAAGUCGAAUAAGAGGUUCGAAUCACCACAUAGGGUUCCAAUAAAAUCCUAGAAUAAAAACUUAGCUACUCAUGUUCGUAACGAAAAGCAUAAUAAAAAUACGGAAUUUCAUAAAAAUCAGAAAAGAAAAGGAAAAGGGAAACUAGGAUGAAGAUUCGUCAAGUCUUCGUCUUCGUUCUCUUGCUCCUCGAUUGCGUGUAGAAAAGAUAAAAACUCCAAAUAAAAAUAAAAGGUAAAAGAUCCAAGAUGGGUCUAAUUGUGUGCUUGUGGCCUUUAAAUAGGGUGCAAAAAUAUAAUAGGGCGGGUUUCCUUGUGUAAUUAAACUUCCUUCACUGCGCCCCUACGCCCAUCCGGACGGCCGUGUGAGAUUAAGAUCUAAAACCCGCACGACCGCGCGGCCUUCUGUUCUUCAGAAUUCUGAUUAUUUCACUUUUGGCCCACUUUUUCUCUGAAUUUGCAGUUUUCACCCCAAAAGUUGCCAAUUCUUCAAUUUGCACCUAAAAUACAAAUAAUAACCAUAUUAAGCACCAAUUAUCGUAAAAACACAUCAAAAGCUCCAAUUAAAAGGUACAAUUAAGUGUAUAAAUAUACACUUAACACACCCCCAAACUUGAACUUUUGCUUGUCCUCAAGUAAAAUCAAAUUAAUAGCACAAAACAAAACCAUACAUCUCAUUACAUAGAUCGAUGGGUCAACUUCGCGUUUUCAGAACUUGCAAUUAUGAUGAUAAUUCAUAGGUAUUCGCAAGCUUAACAUUCAACGGCACUUAGUCACUCACUAUUACCAAAAACCACAAAUCAUACAAUUGCUUCAAGUAUCCAAUAUUUGCAAGUUAAAGAUAGAAAGAAUUUAUACUUACGUGCAUAUAUUUGACUCCAAAUACUCACCAAAUUAUUUUACUCAACUAAUAUUGAACAAUAAGCUAUUGGGAUCAUUGGGACUUUGUGGCUUUCAAUUGUUAGGCUCUUUGGUCCGAGGUAGGUAAUAUGGGAAUGUGUGGCUAAUUUUCUUGAAUUGAGGUGAUUACGCCAAAAAUUGAAAGAUAGGCGUUUGAAACAAUGAAUUCACCUCUAGGGACUUAAAUAAACUCGAUUCUCCAAAAUUCACACGUCAACACUUUUGCCUUUUAGGCAAUGGAUCGAAUUUUCAACACAAUUCAACAACUAGUCCUUAUUUCUCCCUUCUAAUCUAUUCGUCUUCUUCUUUUUCUUUUUUUUUUUUUUUUUUUUUUUCAAUUCGAGGAAUUUAGAUAUAUAUAUAAAGAUGCACAUAUAUAUCUAUUUCUCUUUUUAUCUUUUUUUUUUUUUUUUUUUUUUUUUUUUUUUGACGAAGAAGAAGAAAGAUCUUAUAAAAUAUUUCGACCGAAAUCCAAGGGAUAAUUAUUCAAAAAUCUCCACUUUUCUACCUUCUACAUAUUGGCUAAAAGAAAGAACACCUUUUCUCUCCGAGGCUCAAAUCAAGGUUCUAAGGAUAAAAAUUUAAAGGUAGGCUUGAAAGGCUCAAACGGUUCAAAGAAGGCCCAAAUCAUCUCCCAAAUCACUUACUACCCAACACUUCGUAUCAUAAAUGUCCUAAGGUGAGAUUUAAAACCGAACAAAGCAUGAUUGAGCACAAAUAAAUUCCAAAUUUAAAAUGCAAAACCUUCAACCAAAGCAAUGCACAAGAUGUGAUUCCUAGUAAUAAUCCACUUCUACGUUCUGUUGAAUCGAAAGCUAAACAAAUAUCUACUCCUUAAAAGCAUAAAACAAGUAGUCUCAUCAUCAAACAUUGACCAUCUCUCAUCAUCAUAAUUCAUCGAUGCAACGAAAACAAAACUAAAGCAUGCAAACGAAAACAAAUAAAGCGCACAUAAACGAAAACACAUAGUUAACCACCCCCAAACUUAAAAUUCACAUUGCCCUCAAUGUGAUUCGCCCGGAGUUUAAGGAUAGAAAACACCUGUUUUAAAUGUCGGGACCAUCGUCGGGAUUAUACGUGAAUUGAUGUGCAAAAUUCCCCCCCAAACUUGACUUGGGCAAUUCGUCGAACACCUUGUGGGCGUUCUCGGUGGAAUGGGUUUUUGGAGACAAUUGCUUUGUUCUUGAAUCCUUCCUGUGCAAAUCAGCAAUAAACAACCAAGUUUAAGUAUUGUGUGUGUGUAAUUGGUGAAUUGAUGGUGAAAUUGUGCAAAAAAAAUCGAAAGAAUUUGGAAAUAGGGUGUUAGGGUUCGAAUUAGGGGAGAAGUGGGGAUUGGAGUUGUGAAAAUUGGGGUUGGAAACCCCUCUUUAAAUCUGCCCGUUCUCCUUAUUCUCACGGCCGUGCGGGAUUUUGUGAAGGAAUCCGCACGGCCGCACCAAUUCACGAAAUUGGGCAGAAGCUCUUGAAUUCUCGGACGGCCGUGCGGAGUUUAAGCCUUAAAUCCGCACGGCCGUGCCAAACGCCGGUUUUGGGCAGUAGCUGGGUCCGUUUCUCGGACGGCCGUGCGAGACUUCUGGUCUUUUUUCCGCACGGCCGUGUGACAAGUUUCAAUAAUUGCAUUUAAGGCCCUGAAAAAUAAAAACUUCUUAUUAGAGCCCCUGAAACUUUUUUUUUUUUUUUUUUUUUUUUAUAAAUAAAAAAAAAAAAAAACUAACACUAACAAGAUAAAUAAAUAAAAACAAAAAUUAAAAGAAAAUAAAAUAAAAGAACGAAAAACGAAAGCUCGGGUUGCCUCCCGAGAAGCGCUAAGUUUAUAGUCUUCAGCCAGACUUUGUUCCUUCUCUUCAAUUCCUUAGCUUUUGAACCCAUCUCCUAACUUCCUUUCGGAGAAAGUCUUGAAUAAAUGGGUUGAUCCGAUUCUUCUUUCGACUGGUUCGCUUAGGAAUGCCUUUGAAUUUAUUCUUCUUGAUGUCAUGAGGCUUGCCAACAUCGUCUUUUAUCACGGUGUUUUGAGUAGGUGUUGUAACCAACUCAACCUUUUUCUUUUGUUCUCCUACAUGCACAUUAGUAUCCACAAAAAAAUUUAAAUCAUGUAAUUUAACAGGAAAAAGUUUAGAAUCACUUACCUCAUCAAGAAGAUAACAUCCAUUAGCCGUAAUAGGCUUUUCAUCCACCCGGUACACCUUGAAGAUCACUGUUUCGUCCCCCACACUCAUUCUUAGCUCUCUCUUUCCUACAUCAAUAAUUGAUCUACCGGUUGCUAAGAAGGGGCGUCCUAAGAUAAGGGGAAUAUUUUCAUCUUCCUCUAUGUCUAGUACUAGAAAAUCGGCCGGGAGUAUGAACUUAUCUACCUUGACCAAUACAUCCUCCACUAUACCUAAAGGGUGAGUAAAAGAUCUAUCGGCUAGCUGCAAGGUCACGGAAGUAGGCUUAAUUUCUCCUAAAUUCAAUUUCUCAUAAAUUGAUAAAGGCAUUAAAUUUACGCUCGCCCCUUGAUCACACAACGCCCGCCCAAAAUACCUAGUACCAAUUGUGCAUGGAAUGGUACAACUGCCCGGAUCUCUAAGCUUCGGUGGAAUUUUAUUUGCAAGGAUAGCACUACUUUGCUCAUUGAGGUCUAUGAUUGCUGCACACUCCGGAAGCCUCAUCUUCUUCGAUACAAGUUCCUUUAUAAACUUAACCCAAUUCGGCAUAUGCUUAAGUGCCUCAACAAAAGGAAUAUUAACAUGCAAUUUUUUAAGAUAAUCCAAAAAUGACUGAAAUUGCAUAUCAAGCUUAGAGUUUUGAAAACGUUGAGGGAAAGGUACCUUGGGAGUAGGUUCACUUACUGUGAUCUUUGUGUUGCUUGGCCCGACCUCGGUUUUUUCCUUGGGCUCCUCUACAAUAGGCGGUGGUGCAACGGACUUUUUAGGAACUUCUUCUAAUUGCCUCCCAUUUCGCAAACUCACAGCAUUGCACUGCUCGAUGUUGCUCUUUCGAGGAUCUUCCGUAUUCGACGGCAGUGCUCCCGACGGCCUCGCGUUUAGUUGGGUUGCAAGUUGCCCCAUUUGUGUCUCAAGGUUCCGAAUGGAUGCUUGAGUCGCCGUCAUGAAUUUUGCUAAGAUGUCAGCGAGGUCAACUCCUUGGGGUGGAGCUUGAGGUGGUGCUUGCCUUUGUCCUUGCUGAUUUCCUCCCCAUCCAAAGUUGGGGUGAUCCUUCCAUCCGGGAUUGUACGUGUUGGGGUACGGGUUCCUCUGUUGUCGGUUGGUGUCAUGCACAUAAUCCAGAGACUCCGUUUCUUCUAUGCGUUGGUCGGGCACUUGAACUGCGUGGACUUGCUGAGCCUGCAAAGCCGCUACUUGCUUCGAUAGCUUCUCCAAUUGGGCCGUGAUUGCGGUGACUCCAUCUAACUCCAAAAUUCCGCCCGUCUUGACUGCUCCGCUAUUCGACCGGUCCGAUGCUCGCAUGUAUUUAUUCCUAGCGAUUCGUUCCAAGAGCUCGUAUGCUUCGUCGUAGGUCAAACUCAUGUACAUACCUCCAGCUGCCGAAUCAAGCACGGUUCUCGAGUUGUCUUGCAAUCCAUCGUAAAAUAUUUGCAAUUGGCGCCACUCUUGAAGUCCGUGAUUCGGGCACCUCCUUACUAGCUGCUUGAACCGCUCCCACGUCUCGAAUAAUGCUUCACCGGCUUCUUGUAUGGAAUUUUGAAUUUCUCUCCGGAUUCUCUCAGUUUUUGUUGGGGAGUUGUAUGUGUUCAUGAAAAGUUGCGCUAGCUGGGCCCAAGACGAGAUGGAGUGCGGUGCGCGAGUUUGCAACCAUUCUCGGGCUGCUCCUUGUAGGGAGUGCUUGAACAGGCGGAGUUGCAGUGCUUCGGGUGUUACUCCGUUCAUCUUGUGCGAGUCACACGUCUCGAGGAAGUUGACCAAGUGAAGAUGUGGAUCUUCAUGAGCUAAUCCGCUGAAUAGACCAUUGUUUUGGAGCAUCGUGAGGAGUCCCGCUCGAAUCUCGAAAUUGUUGGCUUCAAUGGGGGGCUGCUGGAUGCUUGAUUGGACCCCAUUGAGUGUCGGGACGGCGUACUCAUGCAGUGCUCGUUGACGAGGUGGUGGAUUAAUUAGCUGGCGUUGCUCUUGCUCGUUGACGAUAUUUCCUGCUGCAUUCGGUAGGCGCCCUUGGUCAUCUCCCAUACGAUUAUUCUCUUCUUCCAUUGUCGCAUAAAAAGUACCUAGAGAAAAAUAAAAAAAAAUUAAUUAAUUAAAUAAAAUUAAUAAAACGGCUGAAGUAAGAAAAAUUGCUCAAAUUUAAUAUUAGGAUAAAUAGAUAAUUUAGCCGUAUUCCCCGGCAACGGCGCCAAAAACUUGUUGGGUGCUAAAUACCAACACGCAAGUGUACGUAUCGCAAACAAGUAGUAAAGUAGACUCGUGAGAGUCGGAUGUCGAUCCCACAGGGAAUACGCAAAUUAUUUACUCCUAAGUACCAAAUCCUAACAAUUAUGAUUUUUAUUCAGCCUACGCAGGGUUGUCAAAUUAAUUAACUAAAUAAAUUAAACUAAUUAAGAAAGCAAUUAAUCACGAUAAAAUAUCAAUAUAAAACGGAUCUAGGAUUUUAUCUUCCCCCUAUGCGAUAAUUCUUCACCCAACUAAUCUCUUAUUAUGCAAGUUACGAUUCCCGAUUAUUAACCCAAGACACGAAAUUAUUCAUAACCAGCUGUCGCUGCGCUAUAAACCUAUUAUUCAUAAAAGAUUCACUAUAUGUCUAUGCAAACCUAAUAUAAAUAAAGCAUUAAAUAACAAGUCUCGCAAACGGCUACCUAAGGUAUUAUCUGUAUGUCUACGAUAAUACAUGCAAUCAACACACGCAUUCGGUGAAAAACUACUCGAAGGCUCUUCUAUCCAUGUUCUAAUUAUUAAAACGAUCUGUCAAUCGAUUCUAACAAUAACAAAUAGCAACAUAAGUUAGCUACGCUCAUGCACUAAAUAAGAUCAAGAUAGAAGAAAUAAUCGAAAAAUUAAACUUGCAUAAAAGUCGAAUAAGAGGUUCGAAUCACCACAUAGGGUUCCAAUAAAAUCCUAGAAUAAAAACUUAGCUACUCAUGUUCGUAACGAAAAGCAUAAUAAAAAUACGGAAAUUCAUAAAAAUCAGAAAAGAAAAGGAAAAGGGAAACUAGGAUGAAGAUUCGUCAAGUCUUCGUCUUCGUUCUCUUGCUCCUCGAUUGCGUGUAGAAAAGAUAAAAACUCCAAAUAAAAAUAAAAGGUAAAAGAUCCAAGAUGGGUCUAAUUGUGUGCUUGUGGCCUUUAAAUAGGGUGCAAAAAUAUAAUAGGGCGGGUUUCCUUGUGUAAUUAAACUUCCUUCACUGCGCCCCUACGCCCAUCCGGACGGCCGUGUGAGAUUAAGAUCUAAAACCCGCACGACCGCGCGGCCUUCUGUUCUUCAGAAUUCUGAUUAUUUCACUUUUGGCCCACUUUUUCUCUGAAUUUGCAGUUUUCACCCCAAAAGUUGUCAAUUCUUCAAUUUGCACCUAAAAUACAAAUAAUAACCAUAUUAAGCACCAAUUAUCGUAAAAACACAUCAAAAGCUCCAAUUAAAAGGUACAAUUAAGUGUAUAAAUAUACACUUAACAAAGACCCAACAUCGGGAUGUGGAACCGAUGAUCUGGCUUCAGCAGCUCUCUCAGCCUCUCGCCUACGUCGUGUAGACAUAGUCAUGCGCUCGCGCUCUUGAUGUUCAGCCUCUUCACGAACUGCUCGCAUAAUUGCCUUUGAUUUCCCUUUGCCUGCCAUCUUUUAAAUAAAACACUAUUAACGUCAGUCUAAAUAAUGAAAAAAAUAAAUAAAAAUAAUUACAAGUCGGGAAAAUAAAAUUCCAGUUUCUAGUUAGAAAAAACUUUGGUUAAAAAAUAAGUUGAAUAACAUAUAAAAUAUUGAGAAAUAAAAAAAAUGCUUCCCUCGGCAUUUUCAAUGUCUAGUGGUCAUUUGGCUGGUUUUGUCCAUUUCACUACUAUAGGGGGGGAGGUGUCCAAGGAGGGUGCUAGGCCAAGGUGCUAGCAACUUUGCCCAAGGUGCUAAAAUAAAACAAAUCAUAAAAAAAAUAAAAAAUGAAUGCAGUUAUUUCGUGGACAAACACACGAAAUUAAUGCUUACAUUUCGUGUUUGUGUUCACGAAAUACAAGCACUAAUUUUGUGUGGUUUUCCACGAAAUAAUAGUAAAACUGCCAAAACACAUAUGUUUCGUGCAAAAUCAUAUGAAACAAAAGCUUACAUUUCGUGAGAUUUCUCACGAAAUGUAAGCUUUUGUUUCGUAUGAUUUUGCACGAAACGUAAGAAACACAAACAAUUAAGUUAAUUUCGUGGAAAAAAUCACGAAAUUAGCCCUUUAAUUUCGUGAGUUCUUACACGAAACGCAAUUUUUUUUUCGAAAAGUUUCGAUUUUUUUCAAAAUACUGAAAACGUAUAGAUUUUCGACGAAAUUUGUUAAUAUACUACUAUAAAACAUUGGGUUAACGAUUUCGAGUUCGAAUUUUACCUUAAAUCGUUGUUGAAUUGCUCGUUUAAUCCGCAGGAAUUCGAAGAACCUUAGAUAGGGUUUGAGAGGAUGUUGAAUUUUUGGAAGAAAAGUUACAAAUGAAAUAAAGUCGCACUGCAAGCCGAUAAAAGUUGUUCUAUGAAUAGCAUUUCAGCAUAGAUAAAGAAUGAGUGUAAGAAACACACUUUGGAAUUUUGAUCGGCUAUUUUUUUAGGGUAAUUGCAAAAAAACAUAUGGCAAGAGCAUUUAAUUAAAAAAGAAACAUUUUACUUGAUCCAGACCAGAAAGAGGCUGAAGGGUAAAAAGCCCACUUACUAAAGAGAUUGGCCCUUUAAAGUCCAUUCAAAGUACAGCCCAAGGUCGGUGGCCACAUAGAAAGUUUUUCCUCGGCAACAUCGCAGUUUUCCGAGCGAUGCAAGACGUUCGGAAGAAAACUAUGACGACCAAGUGCGGUGCAUUAAUGACCAUGACAAGUACGGAAGGAAGCAAUGAUGGUCUCGCCGGGCUCGUCUGUUAGACGAGUCCGCGUAUUAAAUUUGCUCACACUAGCAUUAAUGGUGGAAUGACUACCUGAUAGGAGGCGGUAGGGUGACCACGUUCGAUUAGGUGAGAAUGAUCUUCCAUACUACUGGGAGCCGACUGAAAGCUGAUAUGGGAUGGUAGUGGGUGCGGCGGCAGGUAUAUGCUCGCCCCGGUUUCCGGAAAUGCUGAAAAGCCGACUGAAUAAGUACUAUAAAUAGGUAUAAUUCCUCACCAGAAGAAGGUAAGGUUUUUCGGAUAAAGAUCACACAUACAUCACAAUCCAUCCUCACAUACACUUUUAUCUCUACAAACUUAGUCGUCGGAGUGCUAACUCCGAUAUCUGUGCAGGUGUUCUUUGCUUAACAAUCAGGAAAGUUCCAGAAGCUUGCAUGUAUGAAGCCCAUUACAAUGUUCCAAAAGCCCAUCCAGUAGAAGUGUCGUAGGGAACAAAUCAUUAUUUUUCUUUGUUGCAUGCUGCACAAACACUUCUUAAAGGUGAAGAGUCCCCGUAUCCGAUACCUGGACACUCGGACAUGCCCGGGCACGGCUCGAACACCCAUGUCGGACAGUGUCGUAAUUUCCCUAAAAGUAAGACAUCUGUGUCGGACAGUGUCUGCAAUUUUAAAAAAGUUGGGAUAUGACUCUUAUGUUUUAAGAGAAUGCCCUAAUAAAAAAUACGCAUUUUCUUUUAUCUGUAACAAAUAUUUCCUCUUUCUUCUAUGAGAGUCCACUUGAAAGUCCAAAACUCUAGCGACAACGGCGAUCAAGAUCACUGGCAACAAUGGCGAGCGGUUCUCUUUGCGAUUUGGCGACUUAUAAAUAUAUUUUUACAAUUUAUAAAUGUACCCCUGUAUUUUUAUAAUUUUAAAAAUAUACCCUGUAUUUUUUAUAUCUAUGCGUAUCCUCGCGUGUCCGUAUCCUAGAUUUUUGGAAUACCGUAUCACCGUGUCCGUAUCCGCGUAUCGCCGCAUCCGCGUAUCCGUGUCCCUACAGCAUAGGUUGCAACUAUAUCCAUAUAUCCAAACUUCAUUUGCAAUUAAGGAAAACUUUAUUAUAUUUACCAAAAUUACCCCCAACUCAUUAAAAUCGUAAUUCACACUCAAUUUCAUAAUUCAAACCCUAAUUUAGUCAGUCACCGCCAGUGAUCGCUGGUCAGCCGCCAUUGAUCGCCUGUCUCCGCCAUUGAUUUUUUUUUUGGUCUUUAACUCUUUUCAGUAGUAUUACAGUCUUAGCCGACAAUAUUAAUGUCUCAAAUAGUAAUUUUACUUUCUGAGAAAGUAAUAUUACUAUCUCAGACUGCAAUAUUAGUGUCUCAUACAAUAAUUUAACUCAUGUUUUAGAUAAUAAUGCUGCACUCAUACAGUAAUAUUUUUGUUUUACUGUCUCAGACAAUAAUUUUACUGUCUCAGUGCAAUAUUACUGUCUCAGAUAGUAAUAUUACCGUCUCAGGUAAUUUUACUAUCUGAGACAGUAAUAUCAUUGUGUUUGUUGUAAAAAAAAAUUGAAAAAUAAAAGUUAAAAAUAUUUAAUAUUAUUGUGUAAGACAGUAAGAUUACUGUGGGUUUAGCGGUCGGAAAAAAAGGCAAAAUUCAUUAAAAAAAAAUCAAUGCCGGAAACCGAUCGAAAAAAAAAUCAACGCCGGAAAACGACCGGAAAAAAAAAUUGGGAAAAAAGAUUCAAAAAAAAGAAAGUCAACAUCAGUUUGUGGCCGAAAAAAAAGUUAAGAGAAAAAAAUUUCAAAAUAUUGUGAAAAUUGGGUUAAUGUGAUAUAUUUGUUAAAAUCUUGAAUUAAGAUGUAAUAUUUGUUAAGUUGGGACAUUAUGGAAGAAAUUGAUAUAAAUUAUAUUGCAAAGGAGUAUAAAUUAUAUUGCAAAGGAGUAUUUUAGACAAAAGAUAAUCGAAUGAUUUAUUUUGUAAGAUUUAUGGUCUAAAUAGGAGCGCAAAUAAAUACUUCCUCCUUAACAAUUAAUGCUAAUCAUGAGAAAUCCAUAUUAUUAAGAGAGGAUGACAAAAAGUGUAAAUUUUUUGUUUUUGAGAGGAAAAAAAAAUAUGAAAAUCGACAUUCAAGUUAAAAAAUGACAUAGAAACAUAAUUUAAUGUGUUCUUUUUUCAUAUAAAUUACCAUUUUGUUUUCUUCGCUACUCCAUUAUGUAAGUUGUUUAAGGUUUUGAUUUCUUUGAAGUUUUUUUAAGAGUUUGUAAAGAAGAGGGAUAAAGGUGUUGGUGAAU